CACCGUCCAAUACCGACGCAAAGGCUAUUUCAACAGGAAAUUCUUCGCUGGCCAUGAAAUCUAGACAUGAAACAUGGGUUGGUUAGCUAAACAAUUGAAGAAAUUUCGCAAUCAACAAUGGGGCUUAUGCACAUACGGUAUGUGAUCAAUUGAUUUGGUAUUUUAAAUUAAUCUUUGGUCAAAUUUUGGUCUCUGACAUGAACUGGUUUAUAUUGUUUGAUUAACAGACAUUGAUGGUUCAAACAUAUUCAAUGUUUUUUUUUGUAACAUAUUCAAUGGUUGAUUGGAAUAGUAGUAGGCUGAAGCUGCCUCUUUUCUUAUUUAAUAUUUAUUAUCUUAUCAAGUAUAUUUACAUUGAGGAAGACCAUGAAAAACUUCAUGGUAUACUACAUUUUUAGUGUAUUGUACAUAAUUCUCAUCACUUUCAAACCCGCUUGGGUUGGUGCAUUGGUAUUGGUUUGGGACCUGGGAGUGUGCUCCUCUUGAGGUCUGAGGUUCGAUUCUCUCUGGUGUCAAUUUGAGUGGGCUAAUUUAGCUUCUUCAAAAAAAAAUUCUCAUCACUUUCAAUAAUGAGAAUCCUCAAACCGUUUGGUGAAGUCACCCUUGAAAAAGCAACAUACCACUGUUCGUGACUAAAUACAGGUUUUGGCAAAUAUAAUCCCACAUAAUUUAAUGACUGACCCUGACAAAUAAGAAGAAUAUGCCACUUCUUUAUCUAAAACACACAUAGCAAUUUCAAAAAUACUCCCAUGACAAUUAUUCAUAAGUAAAAUAAACAAAGAUAUAUAUGCAUACCAAAAUAAAAUAAAAAAGCCAAAGCAAGAUACGAAGAAUUUUCAUUUUACACAAAGGAGAUAAAGAAACACAUCGGGGUACUAUGGUAAUAUUUUAUUAUAAAGUUUCAUUCUAUUAUUUACACCCCAAAUUAUAAGAAAAAGGAACUUAAUUAUUUAUCUUUAUUACCGUUUCAUUCCAUUCUUUACCACCAAUCCAAAAAUAACCUUAAGAAGGAGGUCGUCCAGGACGUCCGGGAAAUAUCCUUGGUAUACAUCUAACGCCCUCUUCAGGACGGGUACCUUGAUGGUGGCAAGUAGGAUUUACCCGAACCUUACUGGAAUGAAUAGUUGGACCGUCGUAAUUGUGAGCAACUAGUGUUUGCGGAUGAGUUGUUGGUGAUUGGUAACUGAUGAGGCCAUCGGAUCCAGUAGCAACCUCUUCAUGUAAAUUUUGGUGAUGCUUGAGAUUCCUUGCAGUGGUGAGAGAAAAAACUGCAAGGAACGAAACUAGCACAUAUACUAAGUAAUAAUUAGACAUCUUUGUAGCUGCAUAUGACACUCACAAAUAAUUAGUUUGGAGGUAGGGCUGUAUUUGUAUACAUAGUGACAACUUUCUAUAAAUUCUCGUGUGUAAAAAUUAAUUAGAAUAAAUAAAAGUCAAGCCCAUCAAAUUGGAAUACAAGUAAAGCAACAUUGUCGUUUGUGAACAAUAGAAUAAAAGUCAAGUCUAUGAUGAUACUCUCUUGUGAAAAGCCUCUCGGAGAAAUUUCAAACAUCAAGCUUCAAAUCUUAAAGACUAGAGUUGUAGGUUUCAUCUUCUUCAUCUCAAUUAAUCUUCGUGUUCUGUCUUCAUCUUUGACUGGAUCGGUUGAGAAGGGAACGACACAACGACUAAAGUGGUGGCAUGCGCGGUGCUUUUUUGCCGUCUCUACUAUUCGAUUUGUUUCUUCGAAUUCACUUCCAAUUUAUAUUUAAAUAUAAAUUUUUAAAAUUUAAAAAGAUAAAAUAAAAGUAGUGAAAAUCUCAACUUAUAAAUCAAAUUUUGAGUUUCUUUUUUCUUUUGAGAAACUUUUAAUAAUACCCUAAACAUAAAUACAAAAUAAUAAUUCAAAAACACACCUUUUUUUUUCUUAUAAUAUUUUUUUAUAAUAAAACACAUAUUUGUUUAACAAUAAAGACUGAAACUUGUGCAUAUAUAAUAAUUUUGUAUGACCAAAACAUGUUACUUUUUUUAUAGAAACCAAAUAUAUAUUUAACCUAAAAAAAAGCCAAAGUAUUGUCACUGUCAGAGCAGAAGUUAGAGAUUAAUCUUUCAAGAUAAAUACUUUCACCUAUUCUCGACUUGUUCGGUUGUUCCAUUUCUUUUUUUACCAAAAGUUAAAGACUAAUUCUUUGAGACACAAAUUUAUUUAAGAGAUUGAUCUCUCUCAAUAAACAACUUUCGAACCAUAGUUACAUGAGAUGAAGUUCAUGAAUUUCUUUAUUUUUAAUUAAAAAAUAUUUUAAAAAUUAAAAUUAUUAAUAAAAGUAUUAUUUUAGCAUUUUUUAAUUGAAACAAUGAUAAAAAGGACUAACAUGUGCAUAUUUUGAUAGAUAAAGGACCUAAAUGUUUCAAAAAUAAGAUAAAAAACCAAAAUGUUACAAAAAAAUAAGAUAAAAGACGUCUAGCGUAAUUUUGCCAAUAUAUAUACUAUUUGAAUAAAAAGAAAGAAAAUCAAUCUAAAGGAUGAUUUAUUUCACAUUUUUUUAUAAUCUGGUUUCGCGUCCGUACGCAGAUUCGCUGGGUUGCCCAAUUGAUUAAUGAAUUUUUAUUAUGAUAGUUUAGGGUUGACACUAGAUCUGUUUUAUAUCGAUGUAUCCCUAUUUGAGUUGUAUCUGAUAGUCAAAUUUAAUAUUCCCUAGUCUUUGUAUUUUUCUGUUUAUUUAUUUUACUUUUACUUUUGAAAAAAAAUAAAUAAAGGAUGAUUUCUGAUAAAACAAAAUGAUCAAAAACCCUUUUUCAUUAGUGGAUGAAAAGAAGAUAAAAAGGAUUUGACACCAUCGGUGCGUAAAAUUCCAACAAGGUGUAUUUCAACAAGGAUUUGACACCAUCACUUAUUUAUCGAUGUAUCCUUAUUUGAGUUGUAUCUAAUAGUCAAGUUUAAUGUCUCCUAGUCUUUGUAUUUCUCUGUUUAUUUAUUUUACUUUUACUUUUGAAAAAAAAAAUGAUGAUUUCUGAUAAUACAAAAUGAUCAAAAACCCUUUUUCAUUAGUGGAUGAAAAAGAAGAUAAAAAGGAUUUAACACCAUCAGUGUACUUGUGUUAGAGUGUACUACAUAUAGAUAGAAAAUUUGNNNNNNNNNNNNNNNNNNNNNNNNNNNNNNNNNNNNNNACAAACAGAUAGAAAAUUUGUAUUAAAAAUUGUGUGUUUCACUUAUUUAAACGAGCACCAUCUAGGAGAAAAGAAAAAGGAGAACAACAAGAAAAUGGGGUAAAAAGAAAUAGGUCCACACUGCACCAAGACCACUAAAACUGAGUGUCACCACCACGUCGCAAGUUCCUAAUAAUUAAUUAAUUAAUUUAAUUUAUGGUUAAAAUUAUAUAGUUAAUUCAAUUACAUAAAUAAUUACAAUAUUCAUAAUUUUUUAUCAACGUGAUCUAAGUUAACCGACCAUCUAAUUUAUUGAAUUAACAAGCAAGUUGGUAGCGGAAAAUUUUUAUGUUAUGCUUUUUCUAAUUAGUGUACUGAUCCUCUAACUUAUUUACAAAGUACAUAAACCUCUAUUGUAAGGGUUGAAGUACCCUCCCUUAUAUUNNNNNNNNNNNNNNNNNNNNNNNNNNNNNNNNNNNNNNNNNNNNNNNNNNNNNNNNNNNNNNNNNNNNNNNNNNNNNNNNNNNNNNNNNNNNNNNNNNNNNNNNNAUAUUGGUCAUUAUAAAUCUCAACUUUCACUUUGUAAUUAAUAGGCAAACUAUUGUUAAUUUUAUUCCAAGUUUUAUUUGGUUUUCUUAAACAAUUCCAUGUUUUAUUUGGUUUUCUGUUUUUAGUUUAUUUGAGGCCUACUCACCAUAUUAAUGUGUGAGUAAUUCUCUACAAAAAAAAAAUAUAAAUUUUGAUUUUUAAAAAUAUUAAAAAAAAUAAAAAAUUAAUCCAAUUUAAAACUUACUUGUUGGUAUAUAAUUUUAACUAAUGUGACAAAGACACUUGAUUAAAUUUUUUUUUUUAACCAAACAAACUUAAUUCAUAUCAUUAACUAAUAAAUGUUCAAUACAUAAGGGAAUAAUCUCAAAUCUAUGGAAACUAGCCCAAAUAUUGACCGCCCUAGCAAGAGUAUGAGCAACCAAAUUUGUUUGUCUCCUAACAAACUUAACCUCAAAUCACCUUUUUUCAAAACUUAACCUCAAACUUAACCAAAGACACUUGAUUAACUUAAACCUUAUUAAAUUGACUAAUUAAGUUCUUUAGUGUAUGUGAUUAAAUUGGUAGUAUUUUAUAAACUUUAAGUAUCUAUUUGAACCAUUCUUUGGCCAACACCUUUUUUUNNNNNNNNNNNNNNNNNNNNNNNNNNNNNNNNNNNNNNNNNNNNNNNNNACAAAUCUAACAUAAUUAAUUGGUCUUCUACACUACACAUGGUUCUACUUCUUCUACCGUUCAAAACACACUAAUCUAUCUACAGAAAGUUUGUUGUCACUAUAUAUGAUAGAUUUUAAUAAUUAAUUUACCAAUCAAUUACAUACAAGUCAUGCUCUUAUACAAAUGUGCGGAAGCUAGAUAGAACAAAAGGAGCAUACAUAUGUAACCUGAAUCUACGACAUGUCAAUUGAUUAGAGAUAUCAGGAAUACCUGGAUCCAUUGAGAAAGUCCUUUAGCAAUAGUCCUGGAACACGAAAGGUUAGACGAGCAAUACGUACUCGUUGGCUAGUGUGGUUCUUCCUCAACCGGUACUCCUUAUGCCUUGAAUUCUCUUCAGAUGGGGAGAAGAGAUUAUUUGCUUGUGUACGGUAUAUUGGGGACCAUAGCCUAUAUAUAGUGUGAUGGCCAAUUAGGGUUCCCAUUAUUCCGAAAUUGGUCAUCCUGACAUCCACUCAUAUUUUCGUCCAUAUCCACUAAUUNNNNNNNNNNNNNNNNNNNNAUUUAGCCUUUUAACUUUAUCUGAUUACUUAUCAACUAAGGCUCUUAUUAUGAUAAAUAGCUAAUAUAAUUAAUUUAAAUAUAAAUGCCCACAUAACAAUUAUUGGAAUAUAAUAAUUAAAUAUAAAAUAUUCCAACAAUAUAUAUAUACAAAAACUAGUAGUAUAUACGAGCUACCUUCAAACUAAUUAAAUCUAGUAUACAAAAUGAUGUCUUACCUAUCUUUGCUAGUUUGGUUCCUUGCAGUUAUCACCCUUACCAUUGCAACAAAUCAUAAGCAUCAAAAUCCUCAAAAAUACCACCCUCGUUCAUUAGAUGGUCAACUCGACCAAUUUCGUAAGAUACACUCCAUCUGGUAUAUUUGACGUUUUAUUUAUAUUUAAGAUCGAGGGAGAAUAAGAAUUAAAUACUUAUCAGUUUAGAAUUGUUGGUCAGCUCCGCUGUUUAUUAUAUACUCUCAAUUCAUAUAUGGUAUUUUUAAUUUUGGUCAANNNNNNNNNNNNNNNNNNNNNNNNNNNNNNNNNNNNNNNNNNNNNNNNNNNNNNNNNNNNNNNNNNNNNNNNNNNNNNNNNNNNNNNNNNNNNNNNNNNNNNNNNNNNNNNNNNNNNNNNNNNNNNNNNNNNNNNNNNNNNNNNNNNNNNNNNNNNNNNNNNNNNNNNNNNNNNNNNNNNNNNNNNNNNNNNNNNNNNNNNNNNNNNNNNNNNNNNNNNNNNNNNNNNNNNNNNNNNNNNNNNNNNNNNNNNNNNNNNNNNNNNNNNNNNNNNNNNNNNNNNNNNNNNNGCUCCGCUGUUUAUUAUAUACUCUCAAUUCAUAUAUGGUAUUUUUAAUUUUGGUCAACUAGUCUAAUGGUUAGAAAAUUCAUUUUGAUUGGUCUAGUGGUAUUGACUUGGGACCUGAGGGUGUGCUCCUCCUUAAGGUCUCAGGUUCGAUUCUCUCUGGUACCAAUUUGGAUGAACUAAUUUAGUUUCUUCAAUAAAAAAAAAUCUAGGGGCUAGAAAUUCCAACAUUAAUAAGGAUAAGUGGGAUGACCGAAUUCGAACCUCAGACCCCUACAUAUAUAAUAUAAUGUCUUUGUCAACUGAGUUAAACUCACGGAAUAAAUUUGGUUGUAGAGUUAAUGUCUUUAUUUGUUCGUGGAGUGUGGUUAUUUGUUUUUGAGUAAUAAUAUUUAUAAAUCUAUUAUGUUCUACGCAUGCGAGAUUUGGUUGACCACAUUAAAAAUUGUGAUAUUAAUUCAAUUCAUAAGUAAAAUUAAGUAAAAUUAAUUUCAUUGUGAGUUUGAGCGAGUUCAAUUUGAAAGUGACUUAAAGUUGUUGAUUAAAGAAAAAAAAGAUAUGAAUUAAGUUUGUUUGGUUCAAAAAAAAAGUAAAAUUAAUUAACCUCAAAUUUUGAAUGUGAUUUAAAUUAAUUAUAUAUGCAAUUAAAUUAAUUAACCAAAAAAGAUAUGAAUUUUUAUAUAUCGAUUACUUGAUAAAAAAAAUAUUAAUCAUAUUUUUGUUUGUUUGUCUUUAUUACCGGCAGUCGUGAUGUGUGAUCCAUAUUUUCUAUCGAACUAAAGAUCUAUAGCGUACUACUCAAACCUCAUAAUAUUUUACUAAAAUGAAAAAUAGCUUUCGAUUAUAUCAAUGGAUCAUUGUUUCGAAAAAAAAAUGGAUCAUAUAUUUACUACUAUGGGCCCGUUUGGAUUAACUUAUUUUUCAGCUUAUGCAAACAGUUUAUGUAGUAUAAAUUAGAUUUUAUGUUAUUUUAUAAGUUUCCACUAGUGAAAAUUGCAUUUUUAUAAGUUAUUUUAUCAUAAACUAACUUAUAAUAAUACAUAAAUAUUUAUUUAUUUGCAUAAGUUGUUUGAAUAAGCUAAAAAAUAAGUUGAUCCAAAUCGUCCCUAUAUCAAGUAAAAAAAAGCAAGAAUAUAUCAAGCAAAACCAACAAUGUAAUGUGCAGUGACGCUCUCGAUAAAUAAUCAUGGAAAAUUCACACACUCGCGAACUAGAUUUAAGAUGAAACCUAAAUAAAUCAACAAUUUUCAAGAAUUAAAAAAAAUUACUUUGAUUUAGUCAAAAAAAAAAAAUACUUUGAUCAAACAAUUAUAUGGUUCGUAUUUAUGCUUAACAUAGUUUGUUCUUGAAAAAAGCAUUCAACAAAUAAGUUCAAUCAUGCAAAUAGACUUUUUUAUUUAUUUUAUNNNNNNNNNNAAUAGACUUGAUUUAUCACGAACAUCGGGAUGGCCAAACAUGUGAAAGUGUACUCUAACAAUCAACACGUACGUUUUUAUAUCGUUUACAUUUGACAUUUUUGACUUUUUAGUACUAGAGGUUGUACACCUUUUGAAAAGAGCUCAGAAGGUCAUGCACAGUAAUGUUGUGUCACCUAGGUCUAUGAAUGUAGUUUUUCAAAUAUUAGGUUUUGCUAUACAUAAAGGUUUAGCGGCGCAACUUGUUGCUUGUCUACCCUUUGUUCAUGUGUAAUUAUUUUAUAUAUAUAUAUAUAUAUAUAUNNNNNNNNNNNNNNNNNNNNNNNNNNNNNNNNNNNNNNNNNNNNNNNNNNNNNNNNAAAAAAAGAAAAAAAAAGACCCUAAGUGGCAAGAUUCAAUUUUUUUUACCACAAGUAUCUGGCUCAUUGGACCGUCAAAUCUGAUUCGAGGAUCAGUUCUGGCAUUAACUGGUUCCAACUCUAGGAUUCAAAUUUUUUUGUAUCAGUAUGGUUUUCUCAUUGUGGAGAAUUAGGAGAAAUUCUUGAGCUAUAAGUGUCAUGACAUCUCUCAUUUGGCCUUUCAAACAUAUGUCUUGAACAAAAGCCUUUAAGAAGAUUUCUCUCCCCAAUUUUCGUGUUUUUUUUCUAUCCCUUAUUUUUUUCAUUUUUGCCCUUGAAUAAAUAUUUUGGAACAUGUUUUUCGAAUUUCUUUCCUUGAGAAAAUUUUUUGGAAUGUGUUUUCCGAUUCUUUUUCAAAUUUGAACUAGAAAAACUUUGGAAAUAUUCGAAAAAUAUGUUUUGAAGUUAUUAUUAUACAAGGGCAAAAAUGGAAAAAUGGUGGGGUGAAAAGAAACUCGGGCGUGGGAAGAGAAAAAUUUAGUCUUUUAAUUUCCAAUCAAGCUUGCUGUAUGACAACCAUAUUCAUGUAAUCUCUUCUCUUUGGGUCAGUUAGUUGUAAAAGGUUUGUAAAGGUAUAUGUAUGGAUAACAUCUCUAUCGCAUUGAAUAUGCGAAUGAUAAGUGUGAAAAAUUGGCGAUUUUAGAUAUUUUUCUGGGUACUUAUUAACUUUUUUUCACAAUUUGAAGUAAAAAUUAACUUAUUGUCUUGAAAAAAAAAGAAGAAAGACAACUUAUUGUAAAAAUUAGUUUUUAUUAGUAAAAUAACAAUUUUAGCUACUUCUUUUUCUCCAUCAUUUUUGUAGUGUUUUUGAGGUAAAUGAAUUUAUGGACUUAAAAGAAUUCACAUUCUGAGUAUUCUCGCUAAACGAGCAUAGCGAGGUCAAAACGAACCAAGUCAGAAACGAUUCAAGUUUCAGGGUGCUAAGUGAACCACCAAUGAACCAAGUUAGAAUGUUUGGAUUAUUGAAAUCAAGGUGAUUUGUUAGGCGAGCUCUAGCGAGGUCAAAAUAAAAAGUUCCAAAGAAUACUAGGGAAGAUGCAUUAGCAGAUUCGUCACUAAGCAAAUCUAGGUAAUUCAAAGGAUUGAUGGAUGAUGUGAUAUUUCUGUCCACCUAAAGAAAUAUCCAUAUUCUCCUAAUCGAAUAUUCAAUUUUUGACUUUAUAUAAAUAUAUGCUUAUAUUUACUUUUUCAUUAUCAAUCAAUCUUGUAACAUAAAACUCAGUUUGAGAGAGAAAAACAAAAGUGGAAGAUAAUUAAUCUUGUUUCAUAAGGAAUAGAUGCAAUUCUGCUCCAUCCUUUAAUCUCUUCUUCUCUUCUCUGCAUAAGUUACUACGAGUAUAUGUAACUAAAUUCUCCUCUAUAUUAUGAUAAGUUUAACUAACUAAGAUUUUGAUGUAAUAAAAUGGUUAAAAUGUAGUGUAGAUGCAGCAUUCUUUGUCGACUCGGGAAGGACAACGAUCGGUGCUUGUUUCCGUAAUAGUUCCGAUGAGUUUACUAUUUGAUUAACACAGUGGAGCUGCGAUUCUAUCAAUAGAGGAGGGUGAAGCAUGUACAUUAUUGCAAGUCAUGAAUGAAGCUAAAUAUAGAGGCUUUGAACGAGUCCAAUUUGAGACUGAUUCUCAAGUGUUGAUUGAAGCAAUUCGUACUAAGAGGAGAGACAGUUCAAAGUUUCUUUCAAUUGUUAAUCAUAUUAUUCUUGUUAUGUUAUCUUGUACGAACUUUGAAGUUAAAGUUAUUAGAAGACAACUGAUUUAUAUAGAAUUUUUGAUAAUUAAUGAAAUGAAGUUUGUUUUGUUAAAAAUAAAAAUUGAUGUGAAUUAUCGAUCGGGCUGAUUAUAUAAAAAUAAUCUAUAUAUUUUUUUUUGGUACAAUAUAUGAUCUAUAUUUAAUACUCUAGUUUAUAUGUUUAUGAUGUAUAUUUUCCUUUCGUUUUUUUUUUUGGUUAUUUGAUGUAUAAAAUUUUGUUAAAAAAAAACAAAAAGUGUAAAAAAAAACAAAAAGUUAUAAAAAAAAAUAUAAUAAAACAUUUUAUAAAUCUUCAUUUUUUUUAUUUGACAAAUUUAUAAAUCUUCAUUUCAAAAUUCCUAAAACUUGAAACACCGGCAUCAAAUUUCCCUCUACUCAACAACUUUUGCCAAACAUCAAAACACAAGACAUCAACAAACAGAAUCAGAUCAGAGACUGUGAAGUGAAUAACUGCAUCUUCAGCUUGACUCAGAUCCAACCAUAAUCAACUCGAACGAGUCACCGAGUUAAAAUCAACUCGUCCAAUGCCAUCACCGUAAUCGAUAAUGCAAACCGCAUCUUCUUCAUCGGCAUCGCCGGAAGCGAUUCUCGAAUGGCUUCACAAGGAAAUGGGAUACCGACCACUCGGUCAGUACGCCGCCGCCGGGAAGUCACAUUCGCCGUCAGUUGAAUCGAUCCGGAAGGUUUGUCGUGGGAACAUGAUUCCGGUUUGGAAUUUUCUCGUCACGCGUGCUAAGUCUGAGAAGACGGUGAGGAAUGUUCGAAGGAAUAUUACUGUUCAUGGUGAUGGAGAUGGUGGUGUGGGGAGGAAGAAGGAGAAGAUGAUGUCUGGGGAGGGGUCUGGUUCGGUGGAGACGAGAGAGGCCGCGUUGAUGGAGAGGGAUUUGGCGGCGAAGGAGGUGGAGAGGUUGAGGAAUGUUGUGAGGAGACAGAGGAAGGAUUUGAAGGCGAGGAUGCUCGAGGUUUCGAGAGAGGAGGCGGAGAGGAAGAGGAUGCUUGAUGAACGAGCAAAUUACAGGUUUUUGUUCCUAAUUUUGACCUAAUUUUUGAAGUUCUGUAAUUUGAUGAUUAUUAUUUGAUUUGGAUCCUAAUGAAGGUUUAGUGAAAAUUCAUUACUAUAGUGUAGUAUAAUCACUAGCUCAAAUUGUGAUAAUUAAAAUGCAUUUAUAUGGUAAUUUCAAUUUCAAAUGUUUCCCCAGUAGGGUUUGUAUUUACACUUUACUAGCACUUGAUUGAAGAAUUUUCCCUGUUCUUUUGCAUUAGGUUAAAAGUUGAUUAACACACACUUUACUAGUAACAAUUUAAGAAAAUAAAAGUGACCGAGGGUAGCCACAUGUGUCAUGAUCGUGUCGGUUGUGGAAACUGAUCAUGACUUCAAGCUGAAAUGUUGGCGCUAUAUAGUGAUUAGUGAAUAAGAGAUGCCAACUUUGUUGAGGACAAAAAGAACGCUUCUUUCUGCUUAAUUUGGUUGUAGAAAUUAGAAAUGGAUUUGUUUCAAUGUUGCAAAUGUUAUUAUCACCUUGAGUGUUGACAUAGGCAUAUUGCGUUGUUGCUUGUUAGUAUAAUAAUAAUAAUAAUAAUAAUAAUAAUAAUAAUAAUAAUAAUAAUAAUCUGCUUAUGAGAUUAAAUAUCAUUGUUGAUGAGAAAGUAUGUGUGCUUUUGUAUCGAUAUCAAUGAUAUGUUUGAAAGAGAGUGGAGAAAAUAAUGAACUUGUGAUGAUUCUGGCAUUGAAUGGUUCAGUACUUAAAGUGUAUGAGUUCUUUACCAUUCUGCAGGCAUAAGCAAGUGAUGUUGGAGGCCUAUGAUCGGCAAUGUGAUGAAGCUUCAAGAAUAUUUGCUGAAUAUCACAAACGUCUCUGUUACUAUAUAAAUCAAGCGAGGGAUGCUCAAAGAUCAGGUGUGGAUUCUUCCGUUGAAAUGGUAAAUAGUUUUAGUGCCAAAAAUGAGAAGGAAUCUGUUUAUUCUACUGUCAAGAGCAGUAAAUCUGCAGAUGAUGUCAUUGUCAUAGAAACCACAAGGGAAAAGAAUAUCAGACAGGCUUGUGAAGCUCUUGUAGCUUACAUGGUUGAAAAAAUACAGAGUUCUUUUCCUGCUUAUGAAGGAAACGGUGUUCUUUCAAAUCCUCAGGCAGAAGCAGCGAAGUUGGGGUUUGAUUUUGAUGGGCAAAUUCCGGAUGAGGUUAGAACAGUUAUUGUGAAUUGCCUAAAGAGUCCUCCUCUAUUGCUUCAGGCAAUUACCGCAUACACUUCUCACUUGAAAAGUCUAAUUUCCAGAGAAAUUGAGAAAAUUGAUGUUAGAGCUGAUGCAGAGAUCUUGAGGUAUCAAAAUAUUUGUAGUUUCUUUUUCAUGUUCUGUUGAUGCUCUUGUUAGUUCCUUUGUGACCAUAAUUGUGAAGGUUAAACCUUUUGUGGAAAUCAUCAACUAUUGUUACUAUAAUAACUUAACUUUCCCAAAAAACGUAUAUGUAAAAAAUGCUAAAGUUCAUCUGACCUUUCUUAAAUGUACUAAAUGAAAAAUGUCAUUUGUGCCCUUGUUUAUUAUGGAGUGAGAAUAUUAAAAGUAAGUCGGUGGAAUUAUGAGUAACUAUGAGUAAUAAAUAUAGGGGCAUUCAUGGAAUAAAUUUUAAAUUAUAGGAGUAUUAAAUGAAAUCGAGUAUUUUAUUUUCAAGAUGUUUCCUUGGUCUUAAAUCUUAAUAAAUUAGAGUUUUGUUUCCUAUAAAAAGGACCGGAGGGACGGGAGUAGUAUGUAUGUAGAUGUAUGUAGUUUAUGAGUUCUCUGUUUGAUUAAUCUUAUUAGCAAGUAUAUUAAUCAUGCUAUUCAUAUAAUUCAAACAUCCAUAUUUCUAUCAGGUACAAAUAUGAAAAUAACAUAGUUAUGGAUGUUUCGUCUUCUGAUGGGAGCUCUCCUCUACAGUAUCCACUUUAUGGAAAUGGAAAACUUGGGGUUGAUGUGCCUCCAGGAGGAAGUCAAAAUCAGCUCCUUGAAAGACAGGUCUUCAUUCAUCCUUAGACUGCAUAGUUUUAUUGUCUUGAGUUGAGUUAUUGAACCAACACUGUGUCUCUGUUCACAGAAAGCUCAUGUUCAGCAGUUUUUGGCUACUGAAGAUGCACUAAACAAUGCUGCAGAAGCAAGGGACUUGAGUGAAAAACUUAUGAAACGUCUGCAUGGAGGCACUGAUGUUACUUCUCGUUCAAUUGGGAUUGGAAAUGCAUCUCAGAAUGUUGGAAGUCUUAGGCAACUUCAGGUAUUAAUCACUCAAAACUUACGGUGAAUUAGGUUCUUUUUAAGUGAGCUCUAUAUUUUCAUGAAUCUCUAGUCACCUUUUGUGCGUGAUUCUAUCACUACAAAACAUCUAAUAAGUAACUAAUAGUUAAAUUACCAGCAUUUAUGUUGAGAAGAAGUGCUUGUUGUCUGGUGAUUUAGAGAAACACUGAGUCUGUAAGUUUGGAUGAUUAUUGUUUUGGUGGGAUAGCUUAUAUAAAGACUUAAUGUUUAAAUCGAUACACAUUUUGUUUCUGAUCUUGAGUGGUAAUAUUUCAUUGGUAAGUACCAAUGACCCUGCAAUGCAAUUCAGCAACAAUACGGUGGAAAUCAAAGAAGAAACAGAAUUAAUUGAUGGAAAUCACGUGUAUUAUUGAUCAUUGAAGGAUAAUAGUUGUAGAGGAUCUCUCUAACUACUCCUAGAGCCAAGCUCCAUCCAACACACAGAAAUAUCUAUUCUCUGGCCUAACAGAAUCUAAUUCCAUCAUACCCUCUCUCCCCUAAGAAUUUUCCUUAUAUACCACCCAAGAGAAUAUUCCUUCACAUGGCCACCUCAUUAGUCUUCUUAGCCACCCAAGAGAAUAUCCCUCCAUAUUUUGGGUUUGUCCAUAGCGCCACUUUAAUUAAUUGCAUCCCCAUCAAUUUUUUUCUAUAGAUUCAGACACUGUCUUAAACGGCUUUGGACAUGUAUAUUAUUUCGCUGUAAAUGUUUAACAUGUUUGUUGUACAUGAUUGAUUUGCUUAUAUUAUAUGACAUUAUGGCAAAGAGAUAGAUACAAGUAUACAAAAUUUGUUUUUUUGGCAAAUUAUCCUUGGUUCAUCUCUUCACAUCUAAUUAUUCUGUGGUAGCAUUUCAAUCUGUCUUGAUUGAUAAUUUGUUGUUAAUAACAUAAGUUUUUUUUUUUUUUGAGGUAGUUCAUGUGGUGAGAUUCUGAGUAAAAUUGAAUAUUCCAANNNNNNNNNNNNNNNNNNNNNNNNNNNNNNNNNNNNNNNNNNNNNNNNNNNNNNNNNNNNNNNNNNNNNNNNNNNNNNNNNNNNNNNNNNNNNNNNNNNNNNNNNNNNNNNNNNNNNNNNNNNNNNNNNNNNNNNNNNNNNNNNNNNNNNNNNNNNNNNNNNNNNNNNNNNNNNNNNNNNNNNNNNNNNNNNNNNNNNNNNNNNNNNNNNNNNNNNNNNNNNNNNNNNNNNNNNNNNNNNNNNNNNNNNNNNNNNNNNNNNNNNNNNNNNNNNNNNNNNNNNNNNNNNNNNNNNNNNNNNNNNNNNNNNNNNNNNNNNNNNNNNNNNNNNNNNNNNNNNNNNNNNNNNNNNNNNNNNNNNNNNNNNNNNNNNNNNNNNNNNNNNNNNNNNNNNNNNNNNNNNNNNNNNNNNNNNNNNNNNNNNNNNNNNNNNNNNNNNNNNNNNNNNNNNNNNNNNNNNNNNNNNNNNNNNNNNAUACAAGUAUACAAAAUUUGUUUUUUUGGCAAAUUUUCUUUGGUUCAUCUCUUCACAUCUAAUUAUUCUGUGGUAGCAUGUCAAUCUGUCUUGAUUGAUAAUUUGUUGUUAAUAACGGAAGUUUUUUUUUUUNNNNNNNNNNNNNNNNNNNNNNNNNNNNNNNNNNNNNNNNNNNNNNNNNNNNNAGAUUCUGAGUAAAAUAGAAUAUUCCAAGUAAAAUUGAAUUACAACACUAAGGGAUUUGUGAACACUUGUGCAUCUAAGAUUUGUUAUGUCUAAACUAUCACAUCUAAUCUAAACAUGUUUAAUUAUGAAAAUAUUUUUUUUUAUAUCAACCAUUUAAAGUAGGAUCAAUAAAUAACUUUAUCUUCUUCUAUCUUGGAGGAAUAUUUGCUUUUAAUAAGUUCAAUUAAAUUAUUUAGGGUCCCUUUCUUAUUUUCCAACUUUGUUCAGGAAUUAAGAUUUUUUGUUAUGAGUUGGAAGAAAAAAGGAAAGAGCCUUUUCAUCCCAUUCAGUUCUAUCCAAUUAUUAAUGCUAGAAAUAUUUUUCACAUCAAAAUUUGUGGUGGGAAUUUACAACUUAUACUUCUUACAUGUGUUCAGCUAGAUGUUUGGGCAAAGGAAAGAGAAGUUGCUGGUUUAAAAGCAAGUUUAAAUACCUUGAUGUCUGAAAUACAGCGCUUGAAUACGUUAUGUGCCGAAAGGAAAGAAGCCGAAGAUUCUCUUAAGAAAAAGUGGAAAAAGAUUGAGGAGUUUGAUGCUCGUAGAUCAGAACUUGAAUCUAUAUACACGGCACUUCUUAAAGCAAAUACGGUAAGGUUCCAUUAUUUCACUAUUUUCUUUAUUUGUGGAAUGUGACUGUUGUACUUACUGCUUAUCCUUGGGUAUUAAUGGUACACUGUUUCAAUUUAAUGAUUUUACUGGUUUUAACUUGGCCAAUCAUUAAAAAAAAAACUUAAAUUAGCCAUUAAUAGAUUUGGCUGUGUCACCAUGUUGAUGCAUUUUGUUAAUUGAUAUAUGUAUUGCUACCGAGACAAUGGAUUUUUGUUGGAAGUUUAUAUAUAUUGUUUCUACCGGGCUUUAAUGGUAUUCAUUUCCCUUAUGUUGUGCAAGUUAUUCCAACAAAGCAUUUUUCUUGUAUUUCUUUUCCAAUUUCUUUUUUUAAUAAACAGCUCUUUGUUUUUUGUUUUGUUUUCUUUUAUGUUGCAGGAUGCUGCUUCAUUUUGGAGUCAGCAACCAUCAACUGCAAAGGAGUAUGCUUUAAGCACUAUAAUUCCAGCAUGUUCUGCUGUUGUUGAGACUUCAAAUAGCGCAAAGGAUCUUAUUGAGAAAGAAGUGUCUGCCUUUUAUCGGAGUCCAGAUAAUAGCCUCUACAUGCUUCCUUCUUCACCACAGGUUUAUGAUGCUUUAGCAGACACUUGUUGACUGUUACAAAUGUUAGAACUAGGUUUUCGGGGUUUAAGAUAUGAGCUUGCUUACUUUUGGAUCUUCUAUUUCUACUAUGUGGUAGUCAAACUUUACUCGGAUUAGAUCUCUAGUGUUUAAUAAUCAUCGUAUUGAUAGAAGAAAUUUAUUCAGAUGAAACUAAAAGAAGGAAAGUACAAUUGAGGGAUGGAAAUGAUAUUCUUCGAAUCAGAAAGCUCGAGAUACAACGAGGAAAAUUAAUUGUUGAAAAAAAUAAUCAAGAAUGCAGGAAGGCAGCUUAAUUUUUGCAAAUAAGAAAUGAAAACUCAAUUGAAAAAGAAUUAGAAGUUAUAGAUAUAAUCCUAUCCUAGGGAAAGAGACUUUGUGAAGCUCGGCAAGUUUGAGCUGCUAAUGGAAUUAUAGAGGUUUUUCAGGGAAUAAUCCUGAUUAGUUUUUUUAGGUUUAAUUUGGAAUUUGCAUUUUGAUUUUGUUGUGUCUGAUGGGAGAUGGUGAAAAGGGUGAUUGUACUCCUAUGAAUUUGCUUCAGCCUUUGGUCAUUGGCACCGCUGUCAGCUUUCUCUAUGGCGGCCUGAAAUUGUUAUUGCUGCGAAGUUUGUGAGAGUUGGGAUGUUGCAUGAGAGAGAAGCAGUCGAGUGAGAGAGUUGGUAGGGAGAGGCAAAUAGGUGUAUUUUUUACUUUGGAGUUGUGUCCAUAGUUUAGUGAGUAACAAAUUUUUAGAUCAUUCUCAUACCUUAUCCCUUGUUUGGCUGCCUCAUGAUCAAUUUUGAAAUCAACUAAAAAAGAAUUUUCUCUGUGAUAUCUAGUUAGUCCCACCUUUUUUAGCAAGUCAAAUGAAUCCUUUUUUUUUUGUUGAGAAAGGUCGACUUUAAAUGGCUUAAGAGACAUUUGCUUUGAAUAUUUUAAUAAUCUAUCUCAUGUAUUAAGAUGUGCUUCAACUUAAAUUUACCAUAAAUUCUGGUACAGGCUUUGCUUGAGGCCAUCGGGUCCGGUGGAUCAUCUGGACAGGAAGCAGUUGCAAAUGCAGAAAUAAGUGCAGCUAUUUUGACAGCAAAAGCUGGUGCUCGGGAUCCAUCGGCAAUUCCAUCAAUAUGUCGUGUUUCAGCUGCACUUCAGUAUGCUGCUGGUGAGUAUAUUAUCAUUUUGCAUGCACUGAAAGGCUAUGAAUUUUUUUUUCAUCCAAGCGUGAAGUAUCUAUUAAUUUUUUUUUCUUAGAAUUAAAAAUAUUAUUGGAUACUUUUUGGGUAUGUACUAUUAGGAAUUAUCAAACAUGUAUCAGUAUCAGUGUUGGACAUCAAUACUUUGCCAUUUUGAAUUAUUUGGGCUUCAUAGACAAUAUUCCGUUAUUCCGAAUGAUGUAGUGAAAUAGUGUAGAGCUUCCACAAAAAUUUAAAAAAAAUUAGAAAUGGUAUAUGUUUUCACAUCUAUAGAUCUAUAUUACUAUUGCAUAUUGAUUUCAUUAACUUGCAAAUGUGGUUUCAUAGGUAUUUAAUAUUGGUGGUACGCAUAUAUGUGGGCUGAAAUCUUUUAUAAUGUAGUAAAUGAUUUUUUUAAUGGGCAGGCUUGGAGGGUUCUGAUGCUGGUCUAGCAUCCAUACUGGAGUCCCUGGAGUUUUGUUUGAAACUCCGUGGUUCAGAAGCUAGUGUGUUGGAAGAUUUAUUAAAGGCUAUUAAUCUUGUCCAUAUUAGACGAGAUCUUGUUCAAAGUGGUCAUGCCUUGUUGAAUCAUGCCUACUGUGUUCAACAGGAAUAUGAAAGGUAGAUAUGCAUACAAACACCCCCAGAAUCCAACCCGCAUUCAUGGUUAAAUUCGUUUAUGCAUUGUCAAGGAGAAAAAGAUGUAGUUAAUAUAUCUUUCCAUCUCGUUCAGAUUCAUACCCUAAUAAUUUGUUGGAAGCUUUUUCUUCAUUUUUGACAUUUUAUAUAAUGAUGCAGGACGACCAAUUUUUCUUUAAAUUUGGCUGCAGAACAAGAAAAAGCUGUCACAGAAAAAUGGUUGCCUGAACUCAAGACUGGUGUUUUGAAUGCUCAACAGAGUUUGGAAGAUUGCAAAUAUGUCAGGGGAUUGGUGAGUUACUCCUGUUAUUAUUAUUAUUAGAUAUUAGAUUGAUAUCCCUUAAAAUAAGGGUGAACAAAUCACAAAUGAAUGACUUGUUUAUAUAUUUUUCACGUUAAGCUCACUUUUGAAACUUAGAUCACCACUUUCUGUGUGUGUUUAGCUCAGAUGCAAGUUCUGCUAAGCAUGUAUUAUUUACAUAUAUGGCUAUACAAAAGACUUCAUCAUAGUUGUUCAAUUUGAUAUGUAAUCUCUUGGUGGAUUCUUAUGUCUUUGCUUAUAACUAAUAAGAUUUCCAUUUCUAUUCUUAAAUUGUAACUUCUCCAGCUUGAUGAGUGGUGGGAGCAACCAGCAUCGACCGUUGUUGACUGGGUGACGGUGGAUGGGCAAAAUGUUGCUGCAUGGCAUAAUCAUGUGAAGCAGCUUCUUGCAUUUUAUGAUAAGGAGCUACUAUUGUGAAUAUAAUUUUAAAGCACCUGCAGUAAAUUAAAUUUUUGGAAGUCCCAGAUUGUCUAAACAUUUCCCACUUUGCGAUCAACAUUGAAGACUAUAUUCUUUAGCCUCAAGGUGUUGUGCAUUAGCCAACCGAUACUUCAAGCAGUUACUUUGGGAUAGAAUAUACAGCAGCUGUCUUUAUCGAUAGACCAAGUUGUCGAGAACAAGAAAGAAACCUCUCCUCUACCUGUUGAUUUUUUUAUAGAUUCGCUCUCUCUUCAAAAGUGUGGUGUGUAUUAUAAGCCAUUUUAGGUUUUAGGUGGUGAGUUGGAAUGCUCUUUCUAAUUGCAUGUGAUUAAUGUUUUGAUUCCUCUGAUUGUAGAGCUCUGUAAAUUGAUUUAUUGUGUACCAGAUAGUUGAAGUUGAAGACAUAUUCAACUUCAUUUACUGCAUUCUGGUUUGAACUGUUGUACACAAUUAGUACCAUUUAGAAAACAUGAAGAAGUCUAGUUACAAGUAGACUUAUAUGGUACUUGUUAUAUGAUUUACGUGGUAUAUGAAAUUUCUAGUUUUACAAACAAAACAUUUCUUUGUAGAAGAGUUCUGAGUUCAUAAUUUAUAUUGCUAAUCAAAUUUAGCAAUCUUGUUGAAUUCUCUAUUUUCUCCAUGAUGUAAAGAGGUCAAAUAUCAAGUUUAAUGUAGGACCUUUGAAGCUGUUUUAGUCGAGAUAACAAAGAAAAUGAAAAACACUAAAUUUGGGCAUUAAUUAUUGUUAAUGAAAUGGUUGUAUCAUUCAUAUGUGAUAUAACCGCAAAUGGUUGUAUCAUUCAUAUGAAGACCGUGAGCCAAGUUGACAUCAUAUCAUAGUUCUUCAAGAAUCACAUUACUGCUACAAGGAAUGUAGUUGGUUGGUGCAAACUUGAUAACUUCAAAGGCUAUUAAUUCCUUUUUAUAAGUGGUGAAAUAAAUAUAAGGAAUUUAUUGAGAAAGAGACAAAUUAGAAACUUCAACAACUAUGUUCAGAGUAUGAGAUCAGUGUAACCAACAAAAAAAAAGAGACUGAGAUCAGUGUAUAGCAAAUACUUCUUUGACAAUACAGAUGAAUUGUGUGACAGUAUCCCAUAUUACUUUCCACAUCCAUGUAUAAAUAAAUGAGAACUUCUACGAUACAGUAACACUAACAAAUCAAAGGAUUUUGGUACAAUUGCUUUCUUAAUGAUCAUUUGUGUCAAUCAAAUAGCUAUAUUUCAAUGUUAUUACGCUGAGACUUGAGUACUUAGUCUCUUAAACUCAUCCUUGAAAUCCAUAUAAACAGAAAAAAGAUUUAGAAAACCAAAUAACUAAAGACACAAAUUCUAUAUUAAUCUUAUUAUUAUAGGUAUUUUUGUUUUUGAAAAGACAAAACUAUAUUAAUAAAAUAAGCCUAACACAAAGCACAAGUUACUUUGGUUAAGCCAAAUUUACAACAGGGUUCUGCAUUCACAACACCACCAAAACUACAUCAUCAUUCAUCAAGUAGCUAUGAUAGCAACUGUCACUCAACCAGCAUCACCUGAUAAAUCAAAAUGAAAAAGUACACAUUCUAAAGCCCAGCAGCCGCGGCGUUGGCAGUAAAUGAUUAUUAUUCACUUCAUACUCAUAGUCCGAAUUCGGAUUUACAUAUUGCCAACCAGAAAACCUUUCAUGUCUCAAACUUCUUAACCAAUCCUCAACCUUUAGAACUACCCAAUUUUUCAACCGAUUCUAACGCACUGCUCUGAAUAUGCAAACAGCACAUGUACGAUAAGUCCAUAUCUUAUUACCGGAGCAAUUUGUGGGCACUUACCACUCAAUAGACCUAUCUACCCAAAGAUAGAAACUAAGUUGCAGGGUAUGUAAACUAUAAAGGUUCGAUUGAAUCUGUGAAACUCAAAUUAUUAUCGCUGCAAUUUCACAGCAACAAUAUGCACGACCUUUGCACAGUAGCAACAGCUAACAAGAUCAGACCAUACCUUGCAGAUGAAAAAAAGUUCCUAUACUACAUAUUCCAAUUGCAUAGACAGUUAGAAUCUUAUCCCCCAUCAAGAAGGAUCACCUUUUUCGCUCAAAAUUGUUGCCUUUUGGUAUCUCAAUUUAUCAAUUUCCUUUACUAGAUAAUCUAAAGUCGUGUCCGUAACAUGGUUAGGGGUGCAUCCAGCAUCGAGCAUCAUUUUUAAGAAUUUAUAAGCAUCCUUCACUCGGCCAGCCUUGCUAUGAAUUUCAAUCAAAGUAUUAUAAGUGACAAUAUCAGGAUUUAUCCCGCUGCUUGUCAUUUGCUCAAAGAACUUGUUCACCUCAUCGAUUCGGCCUGUCUUCCCUAAAGCAUUAAUGAGAGUGUUAUACAUAACUAUGUCGAGAUAACCACCCUGCUUCAGUAGGCCAUCAAGUACAGCACUGGCUAGAUCUGCUCUUCCCAUCUUUCCUAAACCUUGAAUUAUCAUAUUAUACGUCGCUAUAUCGGUGGGGCAGAGCUUUUCCCCCAUUUCAGUCAGAAUAGCCCAAGCCUCAUUGAAAUAGCCCUUUUUGACNNNNNNNNNNNNNNNNNNNNNNNNNNNNNNNNNNNNNNNNACUCCUGCGUCGGUGAAAAUCUCGAACAAUUUGCAAGCCAGACUCAACUUUCCCUUGGCCAAAAAUAUAGACAGAAAAGUAUUCACCAUAUUAACAUCAAAAGAAUCAGGCCCUUUUUGUUGAACUCUCUGUCCACGGUUGGGAGUGAACAGUUGCGAAGCAUUGCCAGUUGACUUUACGAGACGCUUGGCCAAUUUAUCCAUGUGUGGAGAGGAUGACCACUCGUCGAUUUGUUCAGAGGAAGUUUCCACCUCAUCAUCAUCAUCCUGGGAACGAGUUAUGAAACUCAUGAUCUCACUAAAACCACCUUUGGAAGGGAACAUUGGUGAAUAAUCCUUUUCCUUGGAAUGCAAGUUAUUGAUAGAAGCUUCCAUUCCAGCCUUCCACUUGAGAACACUGGGCAACAGAUCCCCUUCCCUGACAUGCUUGAUGAGCCUAUCAGUCCAAUCCCAACGACCGUGUUUAUGAAUGCCAAUCAAGAGAGAUGUUAUCGUAACAAGGUCAACAGAAAAGCCUCUAGCUUCCAUUUCCUCAACCAACUCCAAAGCCUCCUCCAAAUGACCCUCUUUACAAAGUUGCAGCACAACAAUGCUGUAACUAAUCCCAUCGACAAACUGACCUUUCUUUUUAAGAUCACAAAAAAGUGUAUAACCAGCUUCUGAUCUCCCAUUCUUAAUAAGUCCAUGAAUUAGAAUAUUAUAAGUCGAACAAGAAGCUUUCACCCCUUCUUGAGCCAUUUUCUCAAACAUCUGGCAUGCUUCAUUAACCUUUGCAGCCUUAAAAAGUCCAUCCAAAACACAAUUAUACACAAGCACACCCGGACGAAACCCAUUAUCCUUCAUCUCAUUAAAAAUCCUCAACGCCUCAUCCAUUCUACAAGUCUUACAACAACCCCGAACAAGGAUCGUAUAAGUAAACUCAUCCGGUUCAUAACCACACCCUUUAAGCUCAUCCCACACAAUAAGUGCAUCAUUAAUCUUCCCAACCUUACAAAGAACCGAUAAAACCGAAUUAUAAGUACACAUAUCAGGUCCAAACAAAUUCUUAUCCUCCUUCAUCUCAUUAAAAAGCUUCAUUGAAGUAACCAAAUCACCCCAAGAACCAAACGCAUGAAUACAAAUAUUAUAACCCCAUGAAUCAAAAUUAAAACUUUUCCAUUCCCUCAAAGUAUUAAACACAUUUUGAAACUCUUCCUUCAUCUGGGCUUUCCUAAGAACCGAAAGUAAGUAAUUCGAAGAACCAACAAUAACCGAAUUAAAUUCCGAACAAUCAUCAUCUAAUUUCAUAAGAUUAUUGAAAAUUGAUAAAGCAAGAGAAAUUUGAUUAUUUUUUAUAGAAGCAAUUAAAAGAGAAUUAUAAAUAAAAGGUGUAGUACCAAUAGGUUGAAGAUUUUGUGUUUGAAUAUAAUCCAAAAUAUCAACAACAAAACGGAAAUUCUUAUUCCCAUUAUUAUGAGAGAAUUUGAUAAGAAAGUUAAGAACUUUAUUGAAUGAAUUCGAAUCGAAAACGAUACCGUUUUGUUUCAUGGAAUGAAGCAAUUGAGGGAGAUAAUGAUGAACAAGUGAAAGAGGGGUUUUGGGGUUACAAAGAUUGUUGAAAAUUAGAGAGUAAGUGGUUGAUGAAUGAUGAAUGUUGUUAUUGGAAUUGAAGAAAUUGAGUUUGUGGGAAAUGUGGAGUGAUGGAUUUGAAAGGAUUUUGUGGAUUAGGGUUUGUGUGAUUGGGAUUUGAUUUAGGGUUUGUGGUGGUGUUGGUGUUGUUUGUGAGGUUUUGGAGAGGGUUUUGGUUAUGGAUGCUACUGUGAGUAAUUCUGAUACUUGUUUCCAUGUUGAAUUUGAUGAUGUUUUCAUUGGUUUUGUGUUGGUUUGUAACUAUGAUGUUUUGAAAUUGUUGUUUUACAUUAUCAUGGGAUUGAAGAUGGCAUUGUCUUCUUCUCUUUCUUCGUUCUCGUCUCCUGGUUUAAACACUGUGUUUGCUAACUCAUCAGCUGAACCCUUUGUAAAUUUCUUGACAAGAAUUAAUUAUUUUAGAUGGAUGAAAUAACUAAUAGCUUAUAGCAAAUAAUUUGAAAGGUAAUGUGUGUGUUUGGUUUGGCGUUAGCAAAAAAUUGAGUUUGGUAGAAUUGAGUUUGAUAGAAUUAAUUUUAGUUAAAAGUGAGUUGAGUUGAAUUGAUUUAUGUUUGGAUACAUUGAUGUAAAAAUGAUUCUUAUCGAUUAAUGUUGUUUGGAUAUUUUGGUUCAAAAUUGCUUUUGGAAGGUAUAAUUACUGAAAUGGGCAUUAUUACUUUAUGUUAUUAGAUUUUUUUUUUUAUUUUUUUACACACUUCACGUUAUUAGUAUUGUAUCUAAAUAUUGGGUCUUUACAUUUUUUAUGACUCAACAUUGAGAAUGGAGUUUUAUCCUUAUUAUGAGUCCAUUAGCUUUCUUUUACCAAAAAAAUAAAAUAAAAAAUAAAUAGUUUCUUCUUCAUUGUUAAAAGGAAAAAACAACUUUCCUCUUCUAACAGUUGCAUUUGCAUCGCACCGCAUGCCAAAUUGCCAACUAGCAAGAGACGAAAUCAAAUCUCUAUUAUCCAAUUACACAGAUUUUUUUUCUUCUCUUCUUAACUUCCUUCUGUUCCACCUUUCACAGUUAGAGUUGCUUUGGAAAGGUUAAAACUGGGAAAUUGAAGUUCCUGAACGCUGGAAUCAAAAGAAGUUCCUGGAAGCUAAAGAAAAACAGAGAAGAUACAAGAUAUAGAAGAAAAAAACUGAGAUAGAUCUAAGGAAAAGAGAGAUGGAGCCAUAGAGGUGAGGGCAAAGAAGGAAGAAAGGGAUUAAUUUUUUAGCUGACAACCAAAAGUAAACAAGAAUUGAUUUUGGGUUGACGCAGAAGCUAGGAUUUGGAGCUUUUCCUAGAAUUGAGUUUGGAGCACAAAAUCGAUUUACAAGGAAAAAGCCAAACAUAUUAAAAAAGUGGGAAAUCACGUUUUACAGCCGGAAACGCACGUCUGUUAGUUUGUAACGCGUAACCAAACAGACACAAUGUAGUUUUUAGCUUAUAGCAAAGGUAGCUUAUUGAAUUUAUAAUAUUUUACUAAAAUUAAAGGUUAAAUUGUUGGAAAUCGUGUGACUACAAUUGAGAGGGGCUGAAAUUACUUGAUGAUAGAACUGACCUCGAACCAGAUUAAAUUAGUGGUGAAAGCAAAAAAAAAAUAUUAAUGGUUAAGCUAAAUAAGUAUGAAAUUACAUAAAAAAAAUAUGAAUAAUUAAUAUUUAAUUUUUUAAAGUAAGAUGAGAUGAUAAAAUUUGAAAAAUAAAUUAUAAACUAAUAAAAUGAGUUAUAUUUAGUAAUAAGAAAUAUAUUUAAAAAAAAAUGAAAUUUGUUGUAUAUACAUUUUGAAACUAUGCAAGGUUUUUCUCGAGCUAAUUCAUACGAUAUCUAAUUAGAUAGAAUGUGUGUCAUAUAUGUAUAACUUAUCAAUUACUUAAGUCAUAAGAGAAUAUUGCAACUGCAUUUGGGGGAACUGAAAUCACUCAAUGCCAGCACUUGCUCCGAACUUUGAACUACUAGGAUCCCUUUCCCCUAGGAACCAGAGGGUGAAAACUAAAAAAAAAAUAAAAAAUCAUAAGAGAAUAUCUAACCAUCUUUGUCAACCGAAAUUAAUUCUCUAAAGUUAAGGAUUUGGUGUUUUAAUUGAUUUUUUCCGAUAUAACAUAAAUUAUUUUACAGUUAACAGAUAUAAAAGUUAAUUCCUAUAGUAAUACAAAAUGACUUAAUAAUGUGUAUUUUAUGGUUCUAAGAUAAUGAGAAAUUAUUAUUAAUAACGAUGGAACUGAUGUCCAUUUUACAAAGUUUCUAUAUAAGAUUUAACCCGAUCAUAUGAUGUUACAAAGUCAAACACACUUUAUAGACCGAUACUUAUUUAGUUAAGGAGAACCAUUCUUUGAAGAAGCAGGAGGUGUCCCUGGUGAAGGGAACAAUGGAGGAAAAGGAAAGCCCAAACUUGGUGGUGUAGAAGGACUUAAGCCAGGUACUGAUGGAAAAGGAAACAAUGGUGGUGAUGAUCUUGAUGGAGGAGGUUGAAAUGGAUUAGGUAUUGUUGGUGUUGUUGGUGGUUGAAAUGGAUUAGGAGGAACAAGUGGUGUACUUGGUGGUUGUAAUGGAUUAGGGACUAAUGGUGAUGGUUGUAAUGGAUUAUUAGGGACUAAUGGUGGUGGAAAAAAUGGAUUAGGAGGAAUGUUAAAGGAAUCAACAUUAGUUACUUUUUCAUCUAAAGAUUCAACAACAUUUUUUGAAGUUUUAGUUGAUUUAGAUUUGGAUUCAUCAUUAGUGGUUCCACUAGGGACUAGUGGUGACAAAAUUGGUGGCAAUAUUGGUGUAACAAUUUCAGGUAAUAAAGGAAUUGGUGGAAGUAUAGGAGGAAGAAUACCACCAUUAUGUGUGUUUGGAUCUUGAAGUGGUGGUGGAAAUGAUGGAUCAAUUUUUGGAGGCAAUGAAUUUUUUUUCAAUGAAUCAACAAGUUUCUUUGUGUUUUGAAUACUUGGUUUUUGGUUACAUAGAUUUGGUUGUUUAAGUGGUUUGAAUGAGAAAAAACCUGCUGAGAAUAUGUGUAAUCCUUGUUUUCUUGAUUUUAGGUGUAUUGAUGAAGAUGUGGCUGUUGAUGCUAUAGAACAAUAUGGUUCAUUGCUGCUUACUAAUUUCACAACACAUCCUUUGAUUCUCUUUACAUGUUUGCUUAUUGAGAAUGGUAGUUGGAUUCUGAAUUCACCAUGUUCAUUUGUUUUCACUUGUUUCUUGAAUCUUGGUUUUGAAAUUUCAUGUUCAUCUUUGCAUUCUACUUCAACUGAUGCACCUGCAUAGUAUUAUAACAGACAUCAGCUUAAAAUUCAGAUAACAUAACACAGGUGGCAGCUUGUGAAUUACUGACACAGAUACAAACACCAGACAAGUUGCUGACACAUGCAUCAGUGUCGUUUUGGUGUUGGACACUGAUAUAUUCAUUCUGAAGUAUUUGUUCAAAAUAAACUAUAAUGACCAAUUUAGGGACGGAAAGUCAAAUGAACCACUAACAUUAACUACUAGUGGUUUAGUGACUUUUCGCAUAUCAGUCUCUAAAUCAAUCAUAAACUCAUUUAGCGACCGAUUGUUGGAACAUAGAGUAUAAUGUGUGAAUUGAAAAUAAAAACUUAUAAAAGAUAUCAAAGUAUUUCUAUCACUAAAUUAGUCCCUAUAUACUAAAAAUAUUUAGUAGGUAUGUAGAGUUAUAAAAUUGAAUUUCCUUUAAAAAAUACAAAUAAGAAGUUUUUUUUGAACAAGAAUACAAAUAAGAAGUUAAGAAAUGGACCUGAAAUGAUAUGGUUUCCCAUGGAGAAAUCCUGUUGAAAACAUGUGUCACAAUAAACAGUGCCAACCACAACAGCAGAAGUAGGCUUCUUGUGAUGAUGAUGACUAUUAGACUCAGAAAAAGUACCAAAGGUUACAAUCAGAAACAGAAUUACAAGGAACCAAGACAUUCUAAGGUUUGUUUGUUCUCUUAGAAUUAACUCUCUUCUCUAAAGUGUGUUUUAAUAUCUUGUACUAUAUUCAAGUAUAUAUGUUCUUAUGAUCCUUAUAUAUCUUUGAUAAAGACACCCAAGAGACUAAUAUAUAGUUCAACAAGAUGUGUCCUAAUAAGGCUAAUUAUGUCCAUCAUGCAAAAGCAACUCAACUGUAAACUAAAAGCAAAAACAAUAAUUGUAAGUUUGCUUUUCCCAUCACCAAAACAACUACUAAUUUAAAAAGGUAAUUUACCAUUAAUAUAACUUAUGUUUGACACCGUAAGUAGAAUCACGAUGACCUGCCAUAAUUUUUAAAAGUAGAAUUUUUUAACGCUUUGUAAGUCAGAUAAGUCAAAAUCACGAUGACCUACCAUAAUUUUUAAAAAUUUAAUUUUUUAACUUCACAGCGGAUCACCAUAAUUCUAAUAUACUAACUGAAUAUAAACAUAUACCAGUAUGUUUGUUUCUUUGUUGGAAUAUGAAAAUGCAAAAGGGGUGUGUGUAUGGUUGUGAUCCUGUGUUGAUUCACGAGACAGAGAAGAGAAGCCACAUAUUCUGUGAACAUGACACAUGACUAAUGUAUAGGAAGUGUGUCCUUUUUAGAUUCACACUGAGAGCUAGCUAGCACAGAAUGAGAUAAUAUCAAACAUUUUUACAGUUAAGAAAAAUAAUUUAAAUGAAUGAGAUAAUAUCAAACAUUUUAUAAGUAAAAUAAUUUAAAUGAGUGGUACAUUUGAAUGAAAAUGAGCCAAGUCAUAUAUAGGUUAGCAACAUGCAUCUUAUUUUAUUUGGACAAAGAAAAUCAUUUGCCUAACUAAAACAUUAAACUUAAAACCAAUCGUUAGUUGGUUCAGUGGUGAUUGACACUGAACUUGGUAGGGAGAACCGCUGUUCGAUCCCCUGCAACUGCGAUCGGGAGGGGGCUGGACCCACUUGAUGCCAGAACUGACCCCUGAACCAGAUUAAACUGGUGUUGAAAACCAAAAAAGAAAAAAGGCAUUAUACUUAAAUGGUUAAUUAUUUGCCUAAGUCAUAUUUUUUAUAUGGACCAAAAAUAUCAUUUGGCUUCAAUAGACAAGAAGGUAAAUGUUCAAGGGUUUACAAGGAAUUAGCUAGAGCAAAAAGUCAAAGACUUUGCAAAGAAAAAUGAAUGGAAAAGUUUCAAUGAUGUGUUGCCUCUUCUCAUUUAUGGGAUUGUUCUAUUCCCCUUAAAGAGGAUGGGGUGAUCUUGGGUUGAUAAUUUUCAAUCUCGUGGUACUUUGCGAAAACAUGAUGCGGAAGAGAUAAUUUUCAGUUGUGGAAACUUUUCGAAUGUACCUCUCAUAGGAUCCAAAGGUUGUAUCACCUACAACCUGACUUUGACGUUGAGACAACGUUAGUUAUCUCAUGUUAGAGAAGCUCGAAGACAAGUCAUUGGAAAGUUUUGUUUUGCAUAAUAUGGAAGAAAGUGACCCAAUUAUGUUGCGAAGGAUAAGCCGAGCAUAGAAUAGGAUUCAAAAAAUGAGUUGGGACGCCAUAAUUGCAUUGUUAAAACGCCUAUUUUUAAAAAUCAUAAAAAUAUAAAUCUAUUUUAAAAUUUAGUUAUAAUAAGAAUUAUAUUAUAACACGCACGUACACACCCACUAAAUAAAAAAAAUUGGUGUCAUCUUUUGUGAGUGCACACACAUAAAGGAAAAAACUUGAUUUUUAAAAAUGAGACUAAUACUUCAAUAUUUAUUUAUAAAAUAGGAGAAGAGAAUUUCAUUUAACCAUAAAAAAUAAAAAUAAAAAAUAUCCAAACUUGUAGAUGUUUUGUUGGACAAGGAUUGUGUGGUUGUUUGGCGGGAAAGGCAGCCUGCUUUUGGCCCAACCACACCCAUCAGAUCAAUCAAGCGCUUUAGAUCGUACCACGUGUCCCUUAUUUUUAAUUCUAAAAAAAUCAUAAAAACAUUCUCGUUCAACCCCUUUUCUCGACACAUUCUCAGUUUGCACCAAUCUGCCGCCGUGCAUCUCUCCGCCGACCGCCGUCCGCCGUUGUCCCUCUCAGCGCCGGUAUUUGGUUCAGCGCCGCUAUUGUCUCUUUUUCUGCCAUCUUUCGCCGCAGUCAUCUUUAAGGGGCGUUUGAUUGAUCUAACGAUUGUGGUUGGGCUAAAUGCAGGCUGCCUUUCCCACCCAAAGUUCACACAAUCCUUAUCCAUGUUNNNNNNNNNNNNNNNNNNNNNNNNNNNNNNNNNNNNNNNNNUUCUUUUUUUCUCUUUGAAACAGAGGGAGCACUCACUCUACUCACUGUGAGUGAAUGAGAACCUCAAGAACAACCAUAGCUUUUAGCAACACUUCAAGAUUUUUCAACUCACAACUACGUACCCUCUCUACUCUAGUUUCUGGUAACCCCAAAAACUUUAUUCAUCUUUUCUUCUUAUUUUAUGCUGUUGUUGUUGUUAUUAAUUAUUGUUAAUUUGAUAAACUCUGCAUAAAUUUCACAUUUUUGAAUGGAAUGGUAAAAUGGGUCAUUUUUAUAGUCAUGAAAUUGGAUGACCCAGUAACCUGUUUUGUUGUUCUUCAUGUAAAAAAUGUAUAUUUUGCUUCAUAUUGGAUAACCCUGUUAUAUUGUAUUUAAAAGAAUAAACCAUCAAAUUGGAUAACCCUGUUAUUUGUUGCUAACAGGUAAAUACCAUAGGUUUCAAAUUUGGAUGCAUAUGUGAAUGUAAAAUAACAGACACACUGACGAACUUAUUGUGGAGAAGUGGUUGUAAAUAUCUGAUGAGGGUGCUUCAAAUGCCCCAACUUGUAAGACAUGGUCCAUUUCAAAGUCAUCUAUGUUGCUACACUUCAUAUGUAUCUUCAAGGUUGCCGGUAUGUUUUGUUUCAUUGAACCCUUCAAGCAAUCCCACAAAAGACAUCAACAACAAUGACUUGAUUCAAUCGUUAUGUAGAGGUGGCAAUCUUAAGCAAGCUGUUCAGGUCUUGUGUAAUGAGCCCAAUCCGACUCAGAAGACUUUCGAGCUUUUGAUAUAUUCUUGUGCGCAACAGAAAUCUCUUUCGGAUGGUCUUGAUGUUCAUCACCGUCUUGUCGGUAGUGGUCUCAACCAAGACCCGUAUUUGGCUACUAAACUUAUCAACAUGUAUCGUGAGUUAGGGGCUGUUGAUCACGCUCGUAAGGUGUUUGAUGAAACUCGGGAAAAAACCAUCUAUGUCUGGGCUGCAGUAUUCCAAGCGCUGGCAAUGGCGGGCCGUGGUGAGGAGUUGUUAGAAUUGUAUCGUCAGAUGAAUAUGAUGGGGAUUCCAUCGAAUAGGUUCACGUAUACAUAUGUGCUUAAAGCUUGCGUUGUUUCGGAGUUGUCAAUCUGUCCUCUUCGGAAGGGUAAGGAGAUUCAUGCACAUAUUCUGCGACAUGGCUAUGAAGGACAUGUUCACGUUAUGACGACUUUGUUGGAUGUAUAUGCUAAGUUUGGUUGUAUAUUCUAUGCAAGUUCUGUGUUUGAUGCUAUGCCUGAUAAGAACAUUGUCUCGUGGAGUGCAAUGAUUGCAUGUUAUGCAAAGAACGAAAGGCCGAUGAAAGCAUUGGAAUUGUUUCAGCUAAUGAUGCUUGAGGCAUGUGAUACAGUUCCAAAUCCAGUAACAAUGGUGACUGUGCUUCAAGCUUGUGCAGGUCUUGCUGCAUUGGAACAUGGAAAGUUGGUCCAUGGCUAUGUCCUUAGAAGAGGUCUGGAUUCUGUAUUGCCGGUUCAUAACACUCUUAUAACAAUGUAUGGAAGAUGCGGUGAGAUUUCCACGGGACAGCGAGUGUUUGAUUAUAUGAAGAAACGCGACGUUGUUUCAUGGAAUUCUUUGAUUUCUAUAUAUGGUAUGAAUGGUUUUGGAAAGAAAGCCAUCCAAAUUUUUGAAAAUAUGAUCAACCGAGGAGUUUCACCGAGUAACAUAUCGUUUAUUACUGUUUUGUGUGCUUGCAGCCAUGCAGGCCUUGUCGAGGAGGGAAAGAUUUUGUUUGAUUCUAUGCUUAAUAAGUACAGGAUCCGUCCAAGUAUGGAGCAUUAUGCUUGUAUGGUGGAUAUUCUUGGCCGAGCUAAUAGGUUUGACGAAGCAAUCAAAUUAAUAGAUAAUAUGGAUUUCAAGCCAGGACCGAAGGUUUGGGGUUCACUUCUUGGAUCAUGUAGGAUUCACUGUAACGUCGAGCUCGCUGAGAGAGCAAGCACUAUUCUUUUUGAGUUGGAGCCUAUGAAUGCCGGAAAUUUCGUGCUUUUAUCGGAUAUAUAUGCAAAAUCUGGGAUGUGGAAUGAGGUACGGCGUGUAAGGAAACAAUUGGAAUCUCGCGGCCUGCAAAAGAUUCCGAGUUGCAGUUGUAUUGAAGUCAAAAGGAAGAUAUACUCGCUUGUCUCUGUUGAAGAGUAUAACCCACAAAUCGAAGAUCUUCGUGCUUUCCUAGUUACACUGUUAACCGAGAUCAAGAAUCAGGGUUAUGUCCCGCAGACAAACGUUGUUAAGUAUGAUCUUGAUGAAGAAGAGAAGGAAAGAAUAUUAUUGGGACAUAGCGGAAAACUUGCCGUCGCCUUCGGACUCAUUAAUACUUCAAAAGGAGAAACCAUUAGAAUUUCAAACAACUUGAGAUUGUGUGAAGAUUGUCAUGGUUUUAUGAAGUUCGUUUCCAAAUUUUCUAAUAGAGAGAUUCUUCUUAGAGAUUGUCAUAGGUUCCACUGUUUUAAAGAUGGAAUUUGUUCAUGUGGUGAUUAUUGGUAGUUAUUGGCAGAAAAGACUAUGCAGUAUUGUAGUUAGAAUCAUUAUGAGGUAUAUAUAUAGUGACAGAUAUUGAAUGAUGCCAUGGUUCCAAACACAGCAUACAACAAUUGAAUUGUGAUGUACAUUUAUUGCCUCUUUUUACAAUGCAUUGAACAAUGAGGAUUGUGCUUUAUGACACAUUAGUUCAACAAGGUUAGAAAAUAUCAACUAUAGAAAGUUGUUUAUCUUUUAGAUUAUUAUACUAUUUUGUAGUUUUAGAAGUGAUUUAUUUCAAUGAAAUUCUCUCUUUUCACAAAUGCAGCAGUGUAGUACCAAUUUAUUUAUUUUUUUGUUGGUUCAUUCCUUUUACAGGUUGUGGUAAAUAGUUGAAUUAAACAUGAGGACCUUACUUUGAUUCUUGAAUGCCUUCAUUAGGAUUGUGACCACAGUGGGACAGUGCAUGCUAAAACAUUCAAGGAAGAAAAUGACCUAUGGACUAACAACUGCACAGAAAUUUCAACUUCCAAUUUAGGACAGGCUAUUGAUUCUCAUUACUAUUUCAUUACAAUUUCAAUAUAAGAAUACAAGAGCUCUUAUGAUUACAAUUCAAUACAAGAUGUACAAUAGUUCUUUUGAAUAUGAUAUCAUGUAUAGUUUGAUUAUGUUGAAUAUCAAAAUUGAAAUUUAUCUCUUUGGUCUAUUAUGGUCUAUUAGCUCUUUUUUCUAUUUGAAUAUAGGUCAAAUUACUUAUUUAAAUACUUUCAUAUGAAGUAUGCCUUUAAGUAGGCUUACAAGUCAUAUCGGUUUUUCAAAAAAGUCAAGCUCAAGCCUAAAAAUAAGAAUAUGAUAGACUAAGACUUAUGCCUUCAAUAUUUUGACCAGAUCAGGUUUGAGCCUUGCAAAACCUUGCUUGACCCAACCUAUUUUCACCUCUAAUUACAUUACAAUUCAAUACAAACCGUACAAGAGCUCUUCUGAUUAUAAUUGAAUAUAAAAUAUACAACAACUCUUUCAAUUACAAUGCAGAAAAAUCGUUCUAAACAUUUUAGUUUUCCUCUCUUUGUCUGGAUUAGUAAUUAGUAAUCCCUUAGUAUGUAUGGGGAUGUAACGAUGCUAACAAGGACUGGUUUAGACAAUAUAAGCUGGUGAAAUCGAAAAUAUACUAUUUUGUGUGCUGAUUGAAUAAAUUUGCUGCUGUGUAUAGCUGUUACAGGUUAGACGUUGUGGCACUGAUCCAAUUAUGAGAAGCACACAACAGUUGGCAUACUCUAUGUGUCUUGAAAGAUCAGAGCUAGUUGGGAGCAUCGUUCUCUUUUACUGAAUCGGUUCUGGUGUAUUUUGGCUGCAUAAUUGCUUGGUUUGCGGGUUUGGAUUGGAUCUUGGAACAAUAAGGCUGGGUGCAAUCAUCACAUUCUUUAGCCUUUGCUGUCGCUGUGGUUGCAUCUCAUAAGGCCAAUUCCAGAUUGGCUCGGGUCUGAACUGUUUUUGCUUCUAGUGCCUUUGAGUUGUUAGUGGCUUUGGCGAGAGAUCCCCGUGCGUUGCAACUUUGGUUGGAGAUGGUCGAUGGUUGGGCUCGAAAAGUAUUCAAUAAAGUCGCUUGUUAUUGGGGAUUGCAACUUUAGACAAGCUUUCAUACCAUCGUUGUGGAGCUGAAAUUAUAAGAUCUGCUAUAGGUGUUACUGUUUUGAAUUGCUGUUAUACGUGUUGUUUUUAACAGGUUAGGAAAUAUCAACUAUAGAAAGUUGUUUCAUCUUUUAGAUUAUUAUACUAUUUUGUAGUUUUAGAAGUGAUUUAUUUCAAUGAAAUUCUCUCUUUUCACAAAUGUAGUACCAAUUAAUAUUUUUUUUGCUGGUUCAUUCCUUUUACAGGUUGUGGUAAAUAGUUGAAUUAAACACUGAGGACCUUACUUUGAUUCUUGAUUGCCUUCAAUAGGAUUGUGACCACAGUGGGACAGUGCAUGCUAAAACAUUCAAGGAAGAAAAUGACCUAUGGACUAACAACUGCACAGAAAUUUCAACUUCCAAUAUAUAGGACAGACUAUUGAUUUUCAUUACUAUUUCAUUACAAUUUCAAUAUAAGAAUACAAAGAGCUCUACAAGAUGUACAAUAGUUCUUUUGAAUAUGAUAUCAUGUAUAGUUAGAUUAUGUUGAAUAUCAAAAUUGAGUUUUAUCUCUUUGGUCUAUUAGCUCUUUUUUCUAUUUAAACAUACCUUAUAUGAAGUAUGCCUUUAAAGGCUUACAAGUCAUAUACUAAUGACGUGUCUUCCAUAUCAAGUCCAUAGUUAGCUCAACCUAAUACCUUCAUGACAAUGUGUAGCAUUUUUCUAUUUACUUUGAUUUGAAUUUGAUGAUGAAACAGUUGCAUAUAUAGCUUAGAAAUGAGAAUGGAUUCCCUCAAUUAACAUGAGAGAAAUAGUAGAAUCUUAACCAUUGAAUAAAAUUGAGUUAUCAAAUUAAAAAAAAUAACAGAAAAAUAUUUAAGGCUGAGAUUGAGGACACAUGAUAAACAUGAGAGGAAAUAAAUCGAGAGAAUUCAUUCUCCUUAGAAAUCUCCUCCUAAAAAUGCUUUCAAGCUUAAUGUAGAUGAGUCUCACAAUUCUCAUUGAUAAUUUCUUCUCUUGUGAAGGUGUCACAAGGGAUUCUAAUGGACUCGUGAUCGUUAUAUUAAAGCUUUCAUUGUCAUAUUAAAACUUCAUCUACUCGUUACAUUAAGGAUUUCCGUUAUCAUAUUGAAACCUCAUAUACCGUUGUUCAAGAGUUCUAAGGUAUGUUCUACGAUAUCUGUCUCGUUAAACAUAUUCUUUAUCAUUUUCCUCUGUAUGAAAAUAAACACUCAGAUCCUACUUAACACUAUUAAAAAUUGGUAUAAUAAUAUAGCGAAUUUUCAACCUCUUCUAGUUUAUAUUUUUAGCCUUAUAAAUGAUGCAUUUUCACAUGUCUUUACUAGUCAUAUAGUAAAUUAUUUAUUACAUUGAUGCUUACUCACUUAAGCUACUUUGUGAUGUUUAAGCGUUCGUUUGAAAUAACUUAUUCUUAAGCUUAUGCAAAAAUAACUUAUGCAAAUAAAUAAGAUUUUAUGUUAAUUUAUUAAUUUAUAAAUUCCACCGACAACAACUAUAUUUUUAUAAGCUAUUAUUUUAUAAAUCAUCUUGAUAAACUUAAAAUAAUGUAUAAAAACAUACUCCCUCCGUCCCAUAUUAUAAGCAAAAAAAAUCACUUUUUCAUGUCCCAAAUUAUAAGCAAAAAAAACUAACUUUUAUCAUUUCCAAGAUAAACUUUUACUUAANNNNNNNNNNNNNNNNNNNNNNNNNNNNNNNNNNNNNNNNNNNNNNNNNNNNNNNNNNNNNNNNNNNNNNNNNNNNNUCUUCCCAUGAAACUUAUUUCAACAAACACACAAAAAGUCAACCUUGAAAUUAUCAUAUUUUACUUUUCUUAAUAAGUGUGAAAUUUUUUUUUGCUUAUAUUAUGGGACGGAGUCCCUCCGUCCCAAAAUUUAGUCCAAAUACAUCCACUUUGGUUGACCACUUUUUACUUAUAUUUUGGGACGGAGUAGUAUUUAUUUACAUAAGCUGUUUGGAAUAAGCUAAAAAAUAAGUUAUUUCAAAUAAACCAUAGAACCCAACAUAUAGUUAUUUGAUUAAUUUUUUAUAAUAAUAAAAAUAGUUAUUUUAUUAAUUAAUUCAAUUUGUUACCCUAACUUCUCUCACUUUCCCUCCGUCCCUCACCGCUGUUCACAACUUGUUCGGCUAACACUCUCUUCCGCCAUACGCCGUCGUCUCUUCAACAGGUAUCUAUAAUCUUCAAUGUCAAACUAAUUUUCGUGCAUCUUGUUCAUCACUUUUUUAGUUUCAUAUAUCCAAAAGAAAAAGUUUGUAGUAAUUCACUGUGAAUAAUCACUAUAGUAGCAGUAUUGUUUUUAAAUUUAUUAUUUUUAGGUUAGAGACAAGCACGAAUUAGGUUUUAUUUUACAUGUUAAAAUUAUAAUAAUGUAGUGUAAAUUUUGUUACUAAAUUUUGUUACUGGUGUUGGAACUUGUUUGUGUUAUGUUACCUAAGUGAUUGUUAUUUGAAACGUUGGUAGUGAAGGAUGGUGGUUGUUUUGGCGUCAUCCUCUGAUGCUGGUGGUGGGAUUGGAUGUUGGGAUCUUCAUACAGGUUCUGAGCAGAUCCGCUACAAAUCACUUUCUUCCCCUUGUCAUGGACUUACCUCUGUUGGUGAUCGUUUCCUUGCAUCAUCUCAGCUUCGAGACACGGCGACUUCUGCUGGUUCUGUUUUCUUCUGGUCUUGGUCCAAGGUUUGUUUAUACAUACUUAGUUUAUUUAUUGAUUAGUAUCUUUAUUUAUACAAUUUUAUUACACAAUGAAUGAUAACGAAUGAUGAUAAUGUUCCUUGCAUGAUGGGUGUGCAGCCUCAAGUUGAAGUUAAGAGCUUUCCAGCUGAACCAAUUACACCUCUUGCUGCUAAUCACAGUGGCACCUAUCUAGUUGGUGGUGGAUUGUCAGGUGACAUAUACUUGUGGGAGGUGAGUUUUCUUCUUUGGUGUAUAUUAUACAUCAAGGGUUUGUUUUUAAGAUUGAUGGUUGAUUUUUUGUGGAAAUAUUUUAUGAAAAUUGAAGCCUGGAUUGUUUGUGGCGUAUGCUGAACUUUUGUGGCAUUAGGUUGUGAAGAAUUAUGAAUUGAAUGUUGGAACUCGAACUUAGUUUCUCUUUUAUACUGUACUAUACUGAGUUGGCUACAUUACUUGUUAGGUUGAAACCGGAAAAUUACUUAAGAAGUGGCAUGGUGAUAAUACAGCUGUUACUUGCUUGGUAUUUUCUGAAGAUGACUCACUUCUAAUAUCUGGUUUUAAAAAUGGAAGCAUACGAGUUUGGUCUCUCUUAAUGUACGUAAUACUCAUCUUGUCUCUUCAUUUUUUCCAUCUCCUAUUGUUUUUCAAUUUAUUAUUGUGGAAUACGUACCCAAUUGUGACAUAAGGCUACCUGUGUUAACCAUUGUGGAAAACACUAAAACACUACUCAACACUACUCUUCAUGUCAUGGUUCAGGAUAUUUGAUGAUGUGAGAAGACGGGAAGCAAGCAAGAUUUACGAGUAUAGUUUUUCAGAACACACCUUGUGUGUAAAUGAUGUUGUGAUUGGUUAUGGAGGGUACAAUGCAAUUAUAGCUUCAGCAUCAGAUGAUCGGACCUGUAAGGUCUGUUUUACUGUUUUUGUGUUGCAGUAUUUUGUAGAAAAACGUAGUGCUUAUUGUAUGAUAUUUAAUGUUGUCAGAUUAUAUCGUCAAUUUCUACAAUUUGAAAAUUUUAAUCAUUUAUGGUUAUACACCAAAGCUUUCAUAACAUUGGGGGAAAACCAGCUGUUCUUAUUCUUCGGUGAUGAUGUCAAAGGUGCUUUUUGCUUUAUACUUUUUUUUAAGUAUGAAAGGCAUAUAUUUAAGGAAAUUUUGGUCAUGAACAUAAUACUUUUUGAGAACUGAUACUGUGAUACAAAGCUUAGCAAAUUUAUAGAAAUAUGAAAAGUGUAUUCUAUGAUUUGUUUUGCAAGUUUUUCUAUUGUUACUAGAUCUUUAGUAUUGUUGGAGUAACUUUGAUCUAAUGUGUCUUUUCUAUAGUGUAUUUUAUAUCGUCAUACUCAGGUCCCUGUGCUUUUUUAUCCUUUACUAAUGGUUACCUUUUACACUGUUAAUUAUUCUAUGUAAUCUAUUCUGUCAUUUUGGGUCGAUUCUUGCAUACAGAACCAUGCUUCUCAGUUUUGUAUUAAUUACUACCUCCAUCCCUAAUAUAGGAUUCUCUUGGAUUUUUUUUCUCCCUUUUUAUAGGUCCUCCAUCAAAUUUUUAAUUACAAUAAUUAUUUCUUUUUCAAAAUACCUCUAAUUAUUUUGUAUCUACUUUGUAACUGAUAAGUUAGCAAUAAAUACUAUGAAGGGUAAACUCUGAAAAUUAAUACUACUAGCAACUUUCCUAAUACCAGUUAUUAAUAAAAUUAAUACUACUACCAACUUUCUUAAUUCCUAUGAUUUAGUAUACGAGCUCCUAUAUUUAAGGUCAGAGGUAGUGUUCCCUUUCAAGAAUAUAUACGGCAUCACAUUUUUCAAUUCAAUAUUGUGGAAUACGGACCCAAUUGUGGCAUAAGGCUAGGUCUUUGUUGUUAUUUGUUGUUUUUCCAAUUCACAUAUCUUUUUUUUCUCUCUGAAUUCUAAUGCGAAAUCACAUUUUCCAAUUUAAUAUUGCGGAAUACGGACCCAAUUGUGGCAUAAGGCUAGCUUGUCGUUGUUAUUUGUUGUUUUUCCAAUUUACAGAUUUUUUUUUUCUUUUCUGAAUUCUAAUGUAUACGAAAUCGCAUUUUCCAUUUUAAUAUUGUGGAAUACGGACCCAAUUGUGGCACACAUAAGGCUAGGUUGUUUUUGUUAUUUGUUGUCUUCCAAUUCACAGAUUUUUUUUUCUAUUCUAAUGUGUUUUCUUUUUUGAAGGUAUGGAGCUUAUCUAAUGGAAUGCUUCAAAGAAACAUUAUAUUCCCUUCAAAAAUUAAAGCCAUUGCACUUGAUCCUGCUGAACAUGCCCUUUAUGCUGGCGGUGAAGAUGGAAAAAUAUAUAUUGCUGCACUUAACACCACAAAAAUCACUACUAAUAACCAUGUUUCAUAUAUCACUGGUUCAUUUUCUAACCAUAGGUUAGUUUUUGUCCUCUUAUUAUCCAGAUAUUGAAUACUUUGACCUAUCGACACCCUCUCGUUCAUGAUAUUUUAUAUUUUCCCAAAUCUGCAUACAUCUAUGCUUCUUUGCUUGUAAUUGUAACAUCUCAUGUACCUUUUUGCUUCUUUGCAUGGUUAAUUACAAAAAAAAAAAAAAAUGAUUCAAGCUGUGUAGUGUCAUUUAACUGAUUAACUUCCUCAUUCUUAACAGCAAGGCAGUUACUUGCUUAGCAUAUAGCGCCGGCGAAAAUUAUUUAAUAUCUGGAUCUGAUGAUGGAAUAGUUCGAGUUUGGAAUGCCAGUACUCAUAAUAUCAUCCGUGUGUUUAAACAUGCUAAAGGUAUUGCAUACAUUUAAUGAAAUAUGCCCUACUUGUGAUUUGGGAUUGCUUUUGUAGAUCAGGCUUUCUCAUUGCAUAACUUGUUCAGUAAAGCUUGUACAUGUUCUAUUCAUUACGAACAUUUUUAUACAGAAUGAACUUAUAUUUUGUCAAUGCUCAAGUUUUUUUUUUCUCGCCAAAUACAAAACUCAGGAAAUGCAUGAUGAUGAUUAAAGUAAAAUUGUUUAGAUGAGAGAUAAUGAUAGGUUAAUAGAGAGAAAGUUACCCAAAGACAGAAUUCAAAGGUAGACAAUCCUUACCUGAGUCAAAAUUGACAAUUUGCCUUGAUAUGUAUAACAGUUAAUAUAUAUGACGAUUAUCGGUGGUAAAAGAGCUUAGUCUUGUAAGCACUCAUGUGUGUGAGUUUUGCUUAUUGCUCUUAUAAUCUCAGUUGCCAUUGACACUAUAUGCAUUAUAUAUUCAAAACUUAUUAAUACUUGUGCUGCUACUGUUAUUUUCUGAAGUAUUUUUUCACACCUUUUUACACUCGAAUACCUUAUAUUCACACCUUUUGAUUCUUCAUUUCCCUUUGACGAGGAUACUAAUUAUUUUCUAUUCAAUAUACUCUAUAUGAUUAUAUAAAAUUUACGUUUAUGUUUGCCAAAAUGCAUGCUCGUAUCUGGUGUUGUUCAAGUUUAUACUCAGAUUGCAUCUUUUUUCAUUUUUAUGACCGAAUCACCGCACCUUCAGGACACUGUAUCAAUCACUUUUUUUUUUUCAAUAUUGAGUAUGCUGAAGCAUGCAUUCUUUAUGUUUAAUGCCAAUCUUUUGAAUUUUGCAGGACCAAUUACAAAUAUUCUUGUUCUUAGCCCAGAAAAUGAUUCAAGUAAUCAUGUGUCUUCUAAUUUACAAGUAACCUCAAAAAAGAAGGGAGCUCAAUUUCCUCCUUUGGAAAAAUAUACAAAUUCAAUAGAUGAAGACUCGGAUAUAAAGACUAUUGUCAGUCUUGGGGGUAGCAAGAGAUGCAUGGAUGAGGUUUCAUACCUUAGUUCUCAUGUGAUUUCUAGUUACAGUAAGGAACUUCAGGUUAGUAUCUAAUGAUGAUUAAGUGUCUUUAAUAUUUAUAGCUAUCGGUCUUUAUUUUUAAAAGAAAUUAAGAAUUUAAUUCAUAUAUAUAUAUAUAUUGUUGGUGUUUUUACACUGUCAAUCAAACAUAAUUGUCAGAUUAUUAGAAAUGUUUGACUUUAAUCAUAACUACUUCUAAAAUCACACAUAUGAUUCAUUGUGAUUUGCUGACACUAAAUCUUUUUAUGCUGACAAUAUAUCAAAUUAAACUCAAUAUUUAAAGGAUAGCCAUUAUCUAGUCUUGAUUUUCAGUUAACCUAUCUUUUAACCUAUGUCUCAGAAUCAAGGUUCGGCCGCUGCUUCUGAAAUGGAGAUAGAGAAACUAAAACGUGAUUGCCAAAAGUCAAUGCAGAUGGUUAAUCAAUGGAAGAAAAUGUAUGAUAACCUGCAUCAAUUUUGUGUAAAGGAGCUGCUAGACGAAAAUGCGAAAUAAGACAUGUUAUUCUAAUCAUGCAAGUUUUCAAUCUUUGGGAUAGAAUUUUGUAGCAUAUCUCUAGCAUCACAAGGUUCCCUCUGCAGUUUUGUCCUUCUUCUGCUAUGUCUGGAUAUGCGUUUAACAAUGAUUCCUGGCGUUUCAAGGAGUUCUUGCCGUGACUUUUAUGAAGCUAUCUUUUGUAGCUUCAGCAAAAUCGUGGUUUUUUUUUGUUGUUGUAAUUGGAUGCUAUUCCAAAUGUAUGCUUCCUCUUAUUAUUAUUUAUUGAUAAGUAAUUUGUUUGGUUCCUUACUCUAUAUUGUUUUAAAGCCUCUCAGCCUUCAUGUUUUACUUUGAGAUUCUUCAUCCCUUUUGUUGGGGAGUUUGGAGAGUGUUAUACGUACACUACUACAUCUACUUAAAAUACAUUUAGUGCAGUGACUCAUUUUUCUUAUAUCUUUUGUUCAAUUCAUUUUUUUGUUGUUGUUGUCAAGUAGCUUAGUAUUUCACCCUUAAAGUGAAUAAAUGGGGUGUCCGACAUUCGAAUCCCGUUCCUAUAGAUAUCUUAUUUGUCUCAUUGUUAAUCGACAGGGAAGUAACUACUUAUUCUCUAAUUUCAACACCAUAUACUGCUACGCCAAAAGAAUCAACAUUUUUCUCUUAAAACAUCGGAGUCGCAUUUACUCCUUUGGUGAUUAGUGAGAAGACGUUCAUAAACAACCAUCUAAAGUCUUUCACAAUUUCAAUCUCCUUCAAAAGGUUGAUAAUAGCGACACUGCAAUUUAUAUGCACUUUGUAUAGUGAAAUGUUGUUCUUCUCCACCAAAUAGUAUUAGGACCAUCCAAAUCAAUAGUCGGAUAGUCAAUAUCUAAUUAAAUUUUUUUAGUGAACUCGAUUACUUAAGUUGACUCAUACCAAAAACAUAUGUAAGGAUAUCAAAUGUAAAAAGAUUUUCUUAAAUUCAUCGAAAAUAAAUUCAUAAAAGUAUGCAAGCAAUUUAAUUUUUUCAAUAUAAAAGUAUUUUUAAAUUUCUCUUUUUACUUCCUUAACAAAUUUAGCACUUCUUAGAGAACCCCUUAUGCAAGUUAUGGUUCUCACUCCGUAUUCUUUCUUUUUCUUCGCCUAGGGCUACACGGCACUAACUUUUGCCUGACAUUAAGUGGUUUCCGGUCUCAUCCGAUUGCAAUUGCGGGGAUCAAACUUUGGUCUCCUUACUAAGUCCAGCGUCAAUCAGCAUUGAACCAACUAACGAUCGGAUUGGAUGAUCGAUAGAUUUUUAUUAAAUCAUGGUGUAAAACUACUUUACCUAGUCAAUGCAUAUCCAUUAAACUUUCUUUUUUUAUUGACUUUAUAAAAAAAAAAAAUCUCUGAUUGAUCAACACCGUAAUCGUAUUGUCCAAGUUGGGAAUAAGAAGAGUAGAAUAUGGAAGAUCAUAAUUCACAACUACAGAGAGUGAAGUGUGCAUGAGACCGAAAGAGAAAGAAACAACUUUCAUAUUUUCUCAAGCCUUUUUUCAAUCAACUAAUCUUGGUGUGAGUCCCUUUCUUCCAUCUCUUUUGCAUGUUUGGAAAACCUUACGUUGUUGAUGUUUUCUUUUUUCAUAUAUCACUUUUUGUUAAUCAAUGAAUGGUGUGAGUAACUGAGUAGGGUUUGUUAUUAUAUUUUUCAUCGAUAAAUUCCAUGUGUUAAUGAUUUGAUUUAUGAAGGUGUUGAUGUUGUUAGCAUAGGUUUUGUAAUUGGGGGAACAAUUGUAAAUGUUUCUGUCAAUGUAUAUAUAUUUUUUUAAGACUCGGUAUCCGGCCAAAAGACCGACUAAUCUGAAGGACAUCAAUUCCACCUUCCACUAGUGGGGGGUCCAUUUGAAGCAAAGCUGGACUGAUCCAACACAGAAGUGACACAAGAAGAUUCAAACUUGAGACCUUGAGAGGAGCACAUGACUUUGUUUCUGUCAUUGUUAAUGUUUGCAUGUUUUUAGUUUGAGUACCUUGUUCUUGUUUAAGUUUGGUAUGAUGUUAACGUUGAAGUUUUUGGUUCAAUUUGUUGGUCUGACUGAGUUUUUAGUAUAAGGAAUGGUAGGAAGAAUAAUGCUAGCAACACACACUCUUUUAUUGGUUAAAAUCACGAGUCCUAUCAAAUAUGUACAUGACCCUAAUUAGCGGGACCAUAUGAAUUUUAACCAAUAAAAGAGUGUGUUAAAAAAUGUGUGUUGCUAGCACUCCUCGACAUUUGUUGUUGUUUUUGUCAUCAUCGUGCAACGACCUGUCUCCCUCGCCAGGUGAUAGGGACCAGUUUUGGGCUAUUUGGUUGAGUUAUUUUCAACUAUUUUUAUACUUUAUCGUCCUUAUAUCUUAAUAAUUCUUACUAGAGAUUUUAAAUCAUCAUAGUCGACUUCAAAACCCUUGAAUUGGUGAUGUUGGAAUUAUAUUGAAUGGAAUGAAGACCUUGGUUAUGAUUUACAUAUGCUUUUUAUGUGUGAAUAUUAUUAAUAUGAUUUCAGUUUGUACCUAAAUGAAUCAUAUAAGAAUCAUAUUCUUGCGGUGAGUUAUGGUAUGUUCCCUGAGAAAAAGGGAAUUGUCAUCCAGUAAAGGAGGAUUUGGUAAAAAGGGGAAUUGCAGCCACGACAUCUGGCCUACCUUACUAAUAGAUUAGAAUCAACCGGGAAACUCACGUCUGAGGGACUUAAUAAAGGGUUCAUUAAGUUACGAGUUAUCAUAUCUUUGUAAAUUCUUAUGCCUUAUUAUUAUUAUUAUUUCUACUUAUUGCAUUAGAUUUCUUGUAGAUUAUUUUAUUCUCAUGUUCACAUUCCUCCCAGGAUUCACUGAGAUUUAACUCUCACCCCUGAUCCUUCUUUGUUUCAGAUAAAACGGAGUAAUAAUAGCUGAAACUUUGUGUAGCUUUUGCUUCUGUUUAAGAAGCUAUAUUUCUUUGUUUUGUAUUUUGCCCCUUUGAGGGUUGGUACUUGUAAUUAGUCAUGAGAUAAGUAACAUAAGGUGCUACAUUUUCGGUAUCAGAGUCUGGUUUAACCGACCAUACUGUGGGUGUCGUUUUGUCACUGGACAUUCUUAUUGUCAGUUCAUCAAAUGUUAAGUUUGAUCAACUUAGUAUUUGUGCACUAUAUGCAGGAUCAUGGCAGCAAGUGCAGGACUCCGUGGUAGUAAGAGAAAUGCUCAAGCACCUCCAGAACCUAAUGACGAUAGUUGGGAGAAGAUGUUGCAAGUUAUGAAAGAACAAAUCGCUGUUGCCGCUAAUUUGGUGAACAACCCGGUUCAACCUCCUCCACCCAAAGUCCGGAAUCCAGUCUUUGACUUUCUCAAAUGCAACCCUCCUCCUUUCACUGGAGGGGACGAUCCGCUGGAAGCCCAAUCUUGGCUAUAUAGAUUGAAUAAUAUUUUUGAUUGUUUGCAUUGCACAGACGAACAGAAGGUAAAUUUUGCUGCAUAUAUGCUUAAGGGAAAAGCGGAUAAUUGGUGGAACUUCACUUGCAUGUUGGCUACGGGAAAACCAACGGACUGGGAACAUUUCCAAAAAGCGUUCCUUGAUAGGUUUUUUCCGAAGUUUAUUAGGAAGCAGAAAGAACUAGAAUUUAUGCAUCUUCAGCAAGGGGAUAUGUCUGUGGCGGAGUAUGUAACCAAAUUCGAAGAGUUAUCUAGGUUCUCAUCUCAUUUUCGUUUUUCCCUGGAUGAGGAGUUUAAAAUUGACCACUUUGAGUGGGGAUUAAGGCCUGAUAUCCAGAGUUUCAUCGCAGAAGAGAGCUUGAAGAAGUGUCGACUUAAGUUCACUAGCUAUAACACAUUAGUGCAUGAGAGUUACGCCGCAGAAGAGAGCUUGAAGAACUGUCAAGAAGAAUGCGACCUGAAAGGGCACCAGACAAAGGAUCCUUCUAAGUACUCUCAACAUCUGAAGGUCAGAGUUCCUCAGAAUAAAGGCAAACAAGUCCAGACCUCAAUUUCACCCCGGACUGGUAUGUGUCCUGAAUGUGGGAAGAAUCAUCGUGGAGAAUGUUUGGCUGGAAAGAAUGUGUGUUAUUGGUGCAAGCAGCCUGGACAUGUGAUUCAGAACUGUCUUAUGCUGAAACAAGAGGAAGUAACUAACUCGAGUAACUCAUCCACAUGAACGGUAUUUUCUCUGUGACAAGAACGCCGCAGAUGAAAAUCUGAUUACUGCUACAUGUUUCCUUAACCAAGAGCCCUUAGUUGUGAUAUUUGACUCUGAUGCAUCUCAUUCGCUGAGUGUGUACUACAUCUUGGUCUUUAUCGGUCUAAGUGACCGUUUUUUAUGUUGAUUUGUCUUCCUUUUAAAAUGGAUGAAUGUCAUGUUAGGAAUGGAUUUAAUUUACGUUUCUAUAUGCCAAACCUGCAUGUUCAUAUCUUGUAUUAAUUCCAGUUUAUACUCUACAUGUCCAAAUUGUCAGUCUUUCUUGGGGUAGCAUGAGAUUCAUGGAUGUUUCAUAGUUCAUACUCAUGUGAUUUCUAGUUACAAUUAAGGACCUUCAGGAUUGUAUCUAAUGAUGAUGAUGAUUACGUGUCUUUAAUAUUUAUAGCUAUCAGUAUUAAUUUUUAAUUUAAGAAUUUAAUUCAUAUAUAUUAUUAGUGUAUCAUUAAAAAUAUUUGACUUUAAUCAUAACUAUUUUUAAAGUCUCAUUGUAAAACUUUUUACACCGACAUUAUAUUAAAAUUAAACUCAUUAUUUAAAGGAUGCCGAUUAACUAAUCUUGACUUUGAGUUAACCUCUCUUUUAACCCGUCUCAAAAUCAAGGCUCCAAUGCUGCUUUGUCGUACUCUUAUCUAUUGUGGAUUUACGUAGGGUUGUUGUGGGAGUUUGGAACUUUGUGCUGGUAAUACUUCGUAUGUUUUCUUGAACGCCGAAUUUCAACUCCGACAUGGUGAAAACACUAAUGUUCAAAGCUAGUCUUAUUUACUGUUACAUACUCGCAUGAAGAAGCCAUAAACCUCAUGUAUCGCGUGAAGAAGCCAUAAACCUCAUGUAUGUUAUCCAUUGGAUAACUAAUCUCGAAGAAACUAACAAACUAAAAUGAUUUGGAAACUCAGUAGAAAUGGGAUAUAUUCGGUACGAUCUACAUACUAUCGGCUGAUGGAAGUUUUUAUUGAUAACAACCACCUCAAGGUCGAUGGUAAUUGGAGCAAGCUAUGGCAACUUUGUAUCCCUAAAAAAGUUAAAUUAUUCCUUUGGCGUACCAAUGGUUUUUGCUAUGAUUGACCAAGUUGAGAGGAAUUUCAUGUCUAAAAUUGCUAUGUUGAUGGAGACGUAACCAAAAAUGUUGUAACGAUCAGCUACCCACGAUAUUCCAUGUUAUUAGACGCGCGCGAGAUGCAUUGCACGACUGGCUUCCGGUACAAGAGAAACAACACAAGACGCAAUAUGGUAAUGCAUCUAACUGAGUUGCUCAUUAUUUAACUCAGGCAUCUCGCUUUUGUGCUUAGUCCCCAAGUUAAUUGUCCAUAUUGUAUUGGAUCUUCUAUUAUAAAUAAAUGCAUUAAGAUUGUUUUUGUCAGAAAAAAACUACAUGUACAAUAUACUAACAAGGAAUGUCGCACAAAAUUAGGACAAAAAUUUAAAAUUAUAAACUAAAUAUCCAAGGAUUUGACAUUAUGCAUUAUUUGUUUGAUAUUGUUAAUUUUCAUGGAAGAGUACAAAUUCAACCAUUUUUACUUAAAAUUUGAGUCGAACAAAAGAGUAUGUUUGAAAUCCAAUUUUUUUUUAAGAAGCCAAAAUGAAAUUCUAUUGCACUACGAUAUUUUUAUAACUUUGUUGCCUAACUAUGUUUAAAUCAUAAAAAAUAUCUCACAACUCAACAUUAAAAUUGAAAAGGAUCCAAGCUUAUGAAAGAAUAAAAAAAUAAAAGUGUAUGUGAAAAGAGCUCAUUUAUAUUAAUAAAUAAUCAAUUUAAAUAAUAACGAAUUAUCGAGUGAGAGACUUUAAUGUAUAAUUUUCAAUUAUUUUUUUAUUUGAAUACUAAUAAUAAUUUAAAUUUAUCAUUUUUUUUUAUAUUUUUUGUGAGAUAAAUUUUACAUAUUUAAAAUUUGGAAAUAGUGAAUACUUUCUUAAACUUAUAUUGUAUUUUGACUAUUUAUUUUUUAUUUUAUUUACAAUAAAGCAGAUAAUCGAAGCUAGGACUUCUUGCAUACUACGUAAACCCCUCUUCACUAAGACCAAACCUAAUGACUUUAUUUUGACAUAAUUACUUAUUAUUAUUAUUUUUGUCAAAUAUUUUAAUGACUAUAAAUUUUACUCUUAAGUGGAUAAAUGAUAUGUUUGGGUUCGAACUCCGACCCUUGCAUAUAUAAUGCUUUGUGGUACCAACUGAACUAAGCUCAGAUGAAGUUAUUGUUAUUAUUAAUUACUAGCGGGCCAAGCAAGCGCGUUCCGCUCCUGCCUGUGUCUAACUUAUGUAAAAAAAAAGUCUUAUAUUAUUGUGAGUUUGUUAAUAAAAAAAAAUUUGUUGCUACUAAAAAAUCAAGGAUAUUGUUGGUAUUAUUGGUAAGUGUUAUUUCAAAUUAUAGUGAAUGACAAAAUGGACAAAAAAAGCCAGUCCAAACUCCCAUAUUCUUUUUAUAUAUUGUUGAUUAUAAAUUAUUAUUAUUUUGAAGCAAUUAUUAAUUAUUAUUAUUAGAAAUUUAUGAAAGAAAACAAAAAAUUAUUAGAAGUAGAAUCUAGCAUUUUCUUUUCCUUUUGGACAAAGAUAAGCACAUUUUCCAGCAUUUUCUUUGUGAUGAUUAGUAAGAAAAUAAUCUUCUUCCUCCUUAAGCAAACAUUUUCGUCACUACUACUGUAUUAAAACCCCCCCUCUCUCUCUCUCUCUCUCCCCAUUCUUCAGCAUUUCAUCAUAACCGUCUUCAACACGAUAGUCUAAAUUACCAUAAACCCCUCUCAAUUUCCAUUGAUGCCAGCCACACUCACAACAUUUCUCGAUUCACAUCGCCAUGGCUGAAAACCUCACCGUCCUCUCCGACGCUCUUUCCUUACCGUCCGCCGACUUUCUUCAUAAGCUCCGCUCCGAUGAUGCCGUUAGAUUAGGUCUCGAUGCUUUCUACUGCCUUCUUCGUCGUGGUCUCGAAUCUUCCGGCGAUCAAACUUUACAUCUUCACUCAUGGACUGAUUCUCAGAUUCACGCGAUUUCUUCUCUCGCUAACUCAAUCGCGUCCUCUUCUCGAUCUUUAUCAGGUACUAUCAUCAUCAUCAUCAUCGGAACUUAAUUUUGUUUUUGUUGCGUUUUUUUGCUAUUGCGAGAUUUUUAGCUCGUUUGUAUGAUCCUUGUUGUUGCAGCUGCAAUUUGUUGAUUUUUUUUUUGAAGUGUUCGGAAAUGAUUUUAUGUAUAGUGUUAUUUUUGUAACAAAUUUUUUUGGUGUUGUGUGAAUAGUUGAGCAAGCGGAAGGAGUACUUGUUGCGAUUGUGCAGCAGUCUAUAGAAUUUGCUCUGUGCUAUUUGGAGAAAUCUGGAUUUGAUGAUGAUGAACUUGGAAUUCAGGUUGGCUUUCGAUAUUGUAAUAGUAUGGAAGUUCUGUAGUAUGAAAAUUUGAUGAAGAGUAGUGUGUGCAUGGUUUGUUGAGUUUUGAGUAUGAUUUCAAUGAAGUAUAAUUUAAUUUUUUCCUUUUUCUUUAAUCGUUUGUUGGAAAUUGGAAUUAUCUGUCGUUUUCUUUUUCAUCGAUGAUUAUUUUCAUUAAGUCCGUCAGGAACUCACCAAGGUUUUAAAUUGUGGUCGCGGUCACAUCUUUGAGAUCUAGCCUCCAGGUCAAAUGGGUUUCAAAUUGCGGACUUCAAAUGCCUUGGUGUUGCAGCUAGCAUUCCAUAAACAUGUUUUUUGAAUUCCUGCUAUGAGUAUCUUAGCUGAUUUGCAUAAUCAUAAUUGGAAUGAAAUGAUACCCAAUCCAUUUUUUAAGUUAAAAAUUGUAAGGAUUGCUUUUCUGCAAGAGUGCCUUGGAGAGUAGUGUGCAUGGUUUAUUGGAUUUUUAGCAUUUAUUUUGUUCAAAUAAUGAAAAAUGCGAAACGCUAAAUAAUAUUCAAGUUAAUAAAUGAUUUAUUUAUUUCUUUAUAUGUAUGCAGAAAAAAACUACUAUCAAAAAGUAAAGGGGUUUUAUAGAAGUUGUUUUUUUGGUUUACAGUUUUAAAGAAGUUCAAUUCAGUCCUUUUUCUUUAAUCAUUCUCUGGAAUUGUUUGUCGUUUAUUGCUUAAUCAAUGAUUAUUCAUAAUUCAUUACGUCCACUAGGUAACUGUUCUCUGGAAUUGUUUGCCAUUUAUUGUCUGAUCAAUGAUUAUUCAUAAUUCAUUACGUCCACUAGGUAGCCGUUCUCUGGAAUUGUUUGUCGUUUAUUGUUUGAUCAAUGAUUAUUCAUAAUUCUCUACGUGCACUAGGGAUUCAACAUCAAUGUUUUAAAUAUUGGUUGCGGUUGCAUCAUGAUUGUUGAUAUUUAUGAGAGUCAUGGUCAACUGUAGCCUCAAUUGCGACCGUGGAGACUUAAAACACCUUGGUGGCGCUGCCGUAUUUCGGAAAAAUUUUCUUUAAAUCCUGCUCGUCAUAUGAUUCUUAUUUCUUUUUGCAUAGUUAUGAUUGGAAGGGGAAAUGAAUAUCAUACCAGUCCAGUUAUAAAGUUAAAAAUUUUACGAAUUACUUUUCCACAAGACUGUUUUGCAACCUUUAACUAUGUUGAAACUCAAUGGAGCAACAACAACAAAUAUUUUAUUGUGAAAGAUAGACUUGUCAGUUGGAAAAUUUUUUCCCAGCCUAUUGGAUUCCACACACUCAGAGAGAGAGAGAGAGAGGCUACAUAAUAGUGGAGAGGGAAUAUCCUCUUCCCAAUUGAUCCCGAUAGGAUUUCAGUGUUGGACCUCAAUGAUGAAGUACCCAAUUCUCAACUAGUAGGGUGGAGAAACGUAAAAAUUACAAUGAAGAUGAUGGGCAACCUCUAAAGAACAGAAAAAAAAUAAAUUAGACAAAAUAAAAAUGGAUUUCUUAGAGUUCAGCAUAUGUUCGUUUUAAGCCAUUGUCCCAAGCCUUUAUUAGAUACUUAUUAAACUUGGGCACUAAAUUGAAUUUUGGGGCUGGUUUUAUUUAUCUUGCUUCAUGCAUAUGUAUGGCACUGUGUACCAAUAGGUUUUUCUGAUUUCUAUACCUGAGUAUGGUAGGAGAAAAAGUUCUCUCCUCAUAUCCAUUUAUAGAUAAAAAAAUUGUCUGGUGGGCAUAGCUUAAACUUUUUUAAUUGUUUUAGAACUUAUUGUCUUGGUCUGUGUAUUUUUCUGUUAGAGUGAUGGUAUUUUUUUUUUGUGCAUCACCAAUUCUUUUUAAACCUUUCAGGCCAACAUGAUACAUCUCUUAGAGAUAGCUUUGGUUGAUGGAACAAAUAUGGUAGUGGACAUUUUACAACCUACAACUGCAAGUGCCUUAGUGGAUUUGCUGCCAAUGGUUGAUGAUUGUUGUGGUGAUUAUGUGGAUGACUACAAAAAAUGCCGUUUAGAAGGUAUCAUGUUAAUAACCAAUAAUUACCCCACUGUUGUCUUGUCAUGGUUUUCCUGCUAACCUAACCAUUUGCUCAUUUUUUUACUGAUUCAUAAAAGGAUUUCGGUGCUCAGUGGAAGAAAAAUCAAUGGAUUGGCUUCUGAAGACAUUAGCUUCUAAACACAUGCCACAUGAUAGGCAAGAAUCUGGAUUCAGUGAGCAGACUUAUGAUCAAUAUCUCAACACUUUUGUCUUUCUAUCCCAGCACUGGGCAGUUGUCCAUGGAAAAUGCACCCCUCGCCUGAUCUUGCUGUGCAAUAAACUGGCUAAUGUACAAGAUGUAUUUGAUGAGCGGGUUUUGGGCCAAAGUUUUCGAAGGAGGCUGUCAUUCAUUUUGAGAAUGUUGAAGUUACUUGGAAGUCUCAUGACGGAUGUUCCGUAUGUUGAAUAUGAUGCCUCAAUAAUGAGGGCAGUUGCGUCAUUUACUGAUACUUUGUCUAAUUUGUUUAGAGUUAAAGUCGAGUUUGUGAAUACUUAUGCUUCUGUUGACGGAAGUUUUGAUAGCAUCGUUUUAAUGGUUACAGAAGAAUUUCUUCACGAUGUUCAGGUUAUUUUCGGUAAUAGCAAUGUAGCUCAGAAUAUCCAAGCAUGUGUUGUAGUAUCUAUACUAGAGAGUUUGGAUUCUUCUGUUUGGAUAUAUGACAAAACUGAUCCAAAUUCGAAGCCCCCCUUGGCUUUCUUCCCUCGAUUUGUUGUUUAUACUCUGAAACUCAUUAAUGAUCUCAAAAAACAAAGGCACCAGAUUUCUUUUGAGCGGAAAGACUUUGAUGUAGAACUUGUUGGCAGUUCUACUGACUCAGAAAACAGUUCUUUUUCAUGCCUUGUUCAUCGUGGGUCUGUUCCUUUGCUGAAGGGAUACACUUUUGAAGAGCUUAUAAAACUGAUAUUUCCUGCAUCAAGCCAAUGGGUUGAAAAUUUGAUGCAACUUGCUUUGUUUCUUCAUUCUGAAGGAUUGAAAUUAAGGCAAAAACUGGAAAGGUCCCAUUCUAGUUUGGCAAAAGUUGCUGGACCAUCCGAAAUUGAAAAUGCAGUGUGCCAUGAUGAUGAGGCUCUUUUUGGAGAUCUUUUUUCUGAGACAGGGCGUUCUGUUGGAUCUACAGAUGGGUGUGAACAACCACCUGCUUCUGCUUUAGUUUCUAACUCCAGCAAUCAGAAUAUGCCAAUUCAGGCUGCUAUAGAACUUCUGAACUUUCUUAAAACAUGUAUCUUCUCUACCGAAUGGCAUCCUUCCCUUUUUGUUGAUGCUUGCAGCAAGCUCAGUAGUAGAGACAUUGAUAUUUUGCUUUCCCUACUCAAUUGUCAUGGCUGUUGUUCUGAAGAUAAUAUGUCUGAUGGUUGUAUCCCUUCACGUGAAGAUGGGAAGAUUGGGCUCAUCCAUGAAAUAUGCUUUGAUCUUCUGCACAACCUUCUCACAAACCAUGCAUUGAGUGAUUCACUUGAAGACUACCUUGUGGAGAAGAUCCUAAUUGUUGAAAAUGGUGCUUUUAGUUAUAAUGACAGGACCCUCACCCUGCUUGCUCACGCAUUAUCUAGUAGGGUUGGUUCUUCUGGCAGUCAGUUGAGAACAAAGAUUUUUAGGGGAUAUGUUGCCUUUGUUGUCGAGAAGGCGAAAUCUGUUUGUGUAAACUGCCCAAGUAUCAAUGAACUCGUUGGUACUCUUCCUUCAUUGUUUCAUAUUGAGGUAGUUCUUAUGGCCUUCCAUUUGUCCCAUGAAGAUGAAAAGGGAGUGAUGGCAAACUUAAUCUUUUCAACCCUCAAAGAAGUUGCUAACCCAGUGUUGGAUUUGAACAGCUCACUUUUAACAUGUUGGGCUUUAGUGGUUUCAAGGCUGAUCUUAGUUCUUCGCCAUAUGAUAUUUCACCAACAGACUUGUCCUACAUCAUUGCUUGUAGAUGUGCGGUCUAAGUUGAGGGAAGCACCACUGUCUAGCUCAUCUUUGCUUAAUAAGGUUAAUGAUCACAUGACAUCUUGGUCAUCAACUGCAUUAAAAAGCAUUGCAGGUGGAUUGGUUGGACAUGAGGUUUUUGUUGGUAGCUUGAUUGGACAACUAAUUGAUGUUUCCGAGUCUGCUGCUUCACUUAGUGUGGAUGAUUUGAUGAUUGACAAAUUAACUCUGGAUUGGAAGGACAUAUACUGUACUUUUUCACUAAUUCUUGGAUUUUGGAGAGGCAAAAAAGCCACUGCAGUGGAGGAUCAAAUUGUUGAAAGAUAUGUUUUCAACCUUUGUUGGGAUAUUCCAUAUAUAAGCUCUGAAGCAGACAAUUCAGUUAUAUCUUGGAAUCAAGGGCAAUCUGUAGAUCUAUCUGACAUGUUGCAUUUUUUCCACUUCAGCCAUUUACUCGUAGGCCAUCCAGAGACCUUUGGGAACUUCACUAGUAUUCCAGAUGUUGUAUUGAGCUUGCUUCAGAAUUUAAAUGCUUUUCCCAUACCAGAAGGCAUUGAGGAAUUAGGUUGGGAUUUCCUCAGAAGUGGAAUGUGGCUGUCUCUACUGCUUUCCUUCACUAAUGUUGGCAUAUGGAGAUAUUGUAUAGACAAUGCAAUUUCUGGACAUGGUCUAACCUGGACUGAGAGUGCUUUUGGGGAUGAAAAAUAUGCUAAACUUGCCGGAAGCAUGAUUUCCUCCAUGAUUGACUCUGGUCAGUUUUUAUUGCUUGUAAGCCUGUUCUCAUCCUUGCUAAACAAGCAUGUGCAAAUUUAUCAGAAAGCUUUCCUCGAUGUCCUAAGUUACAAACAGAAGGUGGCUCCUGGGUUUUUACCACUCUUACUGCUGAAAUAUACUGGAAUCGACAAAAGCCUGCAGGACGAGCUCUUGGAGAGGAGUGGCUCCAAUGCAGGCGAGCUGCAGUCUGUUUUGAGCAUCAUAUCAAGGUUGGAUGCUGCUGUUGAUAAAAAAGCUUCAAGGAUUCUUCCCAGAGCUUAUUGGGAGUGCAUAUUGCAUGGUUUUCCUUUCAGCUCUUCUACUUCUAGUGCGACUUUGCUCUCUUGUGUUCUUAGCGUAAGAGGAAUCAUUUUUGUUCUAGAUGGGUUACAUAAAAUAAAAGAAGCAGGAAGAAAUAUUGACUCUGAGACUGAAGUCUUUUUACAAAUUGUUGAUACAAUAAUGAUUAUAAAGUGUGAUAGAAUCUUUGAAAGUGUUCAUCAGAAAUGUGACACUAUCUAUCACAGCUCAAGUGCAGAACUCGAACUGUCAAAUUAUACAAGCCUUAUUCUAAUAAAGCAAAUGGAAGGGUUUUUGAAGGACAUGAAUGCUAGAGGAGCAAGUGAUUGUUUUGUGCACGAAUGGAUAAUCUGCAAAAUUGUUGAGAUAUUAAGCAGUCUUAGAAAAGAUCCUUCAAAGUCUGUUAUAUUUCACUUUUAUCUUGGUGUUGAGAAUGUGCCAGGGCAGAUGAGUAAGCUUUUGCAGUUGCAUCUUUGUGACUGUUUGGUUCUAAUUGAUUCCCUAGAUACAUGUUUCUCUGAAUCAGUGAAUGUGAAAGUUCUUGGUUUCUUCGUAGAUCUUCUGUCUGGAGAGCAACUUCCUCAUCUCAGAAUGAGGAUACAAAGGAGAUUCCUUGACAGAGAUAUACAGAGUGUAUCUAAAUGGUUGGAGAAAAGGCUUUUAGGAACCAUAAUGAAAUCAGAUAGUGGGGUGAACUGUGCAAAGGGGAGUUCCAUUUCUCUAAGGGAUUCAACCAUAAAUUUUAUUCUAUGCCUGGUAUCACCGCCAUCUGAAAAACAGUCAAAAGAGUUGCAACAUCAUAUUUUCAAUUCUGCACUUCUAUUACUUGAUAAUGCUUUUUUGCUAUUUGAUAUACAUGUGGCAAAGUCAUAUUUCAAUUUCAUUGUUCAAAUUUCAAGAGGAGAGUUCCUGAUGAAACAACUUUUGACGAGCACUGUAAUGUUGAUGGGGAAACUGGUGGGCAAUGAAAAUCUGCUUCCAGGACUUAAGUUUCUAUUUGGAUUUAUUGCAACUGUCUUGACUGAAUGUGGAUCUGGUAAAGUUUCGUUGCAAAGGAUAACUAAGAAGUGUUAUUCUGGAAAUAGUGUUGGGGUGGGACACACGUCUGCUCGACUGGUUGGGUCCAGAAAAAAUUCUGAGGCAUUCAUCAUUUCCUCCAAUAAAGAAGGAGGAUCAACUUCUCUAGAAUGUGAUGCUACUUCGGUAGAUGAGGAUGAGGACGAUGCAACUUCUGAUGGAGAGGUGCUUAGCAUAGAUAAGGAUGAUGAGGAGGAUGCCAACAGUGAAAGGGCCCUUGCUUCAAAAGUUUGUACAUUUACUUCCAGUGGAAGCAAUUUCAUGGAGCAGCAUUGGUACUUCUGCUAUACAUGUGACCUGACUGUAUCAAAAGGUUGCUGUUCAGUCUGUGCAAAGGUUUGUCAUCGAGGUCACCGUGUAGUCUACUCACGCUCAAGCCGCUUCUUUUGUGACUGUGGAGCUGGAGGUGUUAGGGGUAGUAAUUGUCAAUGUUUGAAACCACGGAAAUUUACUGUAGAUAACAGUGCACCUGUUCGUGGUUCUAACACAUUUCAGUCCUUUUUACCCUUUCCUGAAGAUGGAGAUCAGCUGCCAGAUAGUGAUUCAGAUUUUGAAGAGGACAUAAUUUCAGAUGUAGAUAACUCACUCAGAUUAUGUAUUACAAAAGAGCUUCAAGAAGUAAUUCCAUUGUUACUGGAAGAACUUGACGUUGAGAGUCAAGUGCUCAAUCUUUGCUCCUCCUUGAUGCCAUCAGUAAUUAGUAGACGAGACUCCCACCAUUCUAAGGAUAAGAAGAUCAGUUUGGGUGAAGACAAGGUGAUUUCUCAUUGCAUUGAUCUCUUGCAGUUGAAGAAAGCUUAUAAAAGUGGAUCAUUUGAUCUCAAGAUAAAGGUUGAUUAUUCUAAUGCCAAGGAUCUCAAGUCACACUUAGCAAAUGGUUCUCUUGUGAAGUCAUUGCUCAGUGUUAGUCUACGAGGUCGUCUUGCUGUUGGUGAAGGUGAUAAAGUUGCUAUAUAUGAUGUUGGACAGUUAAUUGGUCAGGCCACCAUUUCACCUGUGACAGCUGACAAGACCAAUGUAAAACAUCUUUCUAAAAAUGUUGUCCGCUUUGAGAUUUUACAACUCGUGUUCAAUCCUGUGGUUGAGAACUAUCUUGUUGUAGCUGGUUAUGAGGAUUGCCAGGUUCUAACAUUGAAUCCUCGUGGUGAAGUGAUUGAUCGCCUUGCCAUUGAACUUGCGUUGCAAGGUGCAUAUAUCAGACGGGUGGAAUGGGUUCCAGGCUCACAAGUUCAGUUAAUGGUUGUGACCAACAGAUUUGUCAAGAUAUAUGACCUGUCCCUGGACAACAUCAGUCCAGUGCACUACUUUACUUUGUCAGAUGACAUGAUUGUGGAUGCCAUUCUCUAUACAGCUUCCCGGGGCAGAUUGUUUCUUGUUGUUCUGUCAGAAAAUGGAAACAUUUUCAGGUUUGAGUUGUCAGUCAAAGGGAAUGUUGGGGCUGUGCCAUUAAAAGAACUUGUACAACUCAAGGGAAGAGAAGUUCAGGCAAAGGGAUCGUCAUUGUACUUCUCUUCAACUUGUAAACUACUCUUCGUAUCUUUUCAAGAUGGUACCACACUGUUGGGUCGACCAAGCUCUGAUGCAGCCUCCCUAACAGAAAUGUCUUCUGUAUUUGAGGAGCAAGAAAGUAAGACGCGGCCUGCUGGAGUACAUCAUUGGAAAGAAUUGUUGGCUGGCAGUGGAUUAUUUGUUUGCUUAUCAACUGUGAAAUCAAAUUCUGCUCUCGCGGUGUCCAUGGAAGAACAUGCCAUACUUGCUCAGAGUAUGAGGCAUUCAGUAGGUUCAACCUCCCCUAUAGUUGGUAUGACUGCAUACAAACCACUAUCGAAGGAUAAAAUCCACUGUCUUGUCUUACAUGAUGAUGGUAGCCUUCAAAUAUAUUCGCAUGCUCCUGUUGGUGUGGAUGCUGGUGUCAUUGCAGCAUCUGAGAAAGUUAAGAAGUUAGGUUCUGGCAUCCUCACUAAAGCUUAUGCUGGAACAAAUCCUGAGUUUCCUCUUGACUUUUUUGAGAGGACUGUAUGCAUCACGCCAGAUGUGAAACUGGGUGGUGACGCCAUCAGAAAUGGAGAUUCUGAAGGAGCUAAACAGAGUUUGGUAAAUGAGGAUGGUUUUCUAGAAAGUCCCAGUCCUACGGGUUUUAAGGUAUCUUCUAUCACUUUUCAGUUCAAAGCGAAUAUAUUACUGUAUUUUGUCGAACACUUUUUCAGUUUGAGAUUAGAGAUAACACUGUAGAACACCAUAGCCUAAGGUAAGGGUGUGUUUGGAAACUUUUAAAACUGGAUAUUUGGGGUGCAUUCUGGCUGUUUUGUAGAUGUAGGUUGUUUGGUUAUCACACAAAUUUUAUAAUAGUGAACUAAUUUUAAGAUCAGCUCUCUCUCUCUCUCUCUCUCUCUCUCUCUCUCUCUCUCUCUCUCUCUCUCUCUCUCUCUCUCCCGGUUCAACAAAGUCAAGAAUAAGCAUGCAAAGUUUUUUGAAUAUUUUGAGAUAAUUAUUUGGAAACAAUGGUUUGAUCCCUUGAGAGAACCUAUUUUGCUUUUACACAAACCAUAUAUAAGCUAACAUGAUUUUAGCAAACAUGUUUGUUGAUGAAACGCAAUUUACACACCCAGGCUCAAAGACAUACACUAGAUUGUGUUCAAUUCAUUAUGAUUUGGAAAGUUCAACCCAGGAAUUGUCUAUAAAUGAUUCAAAAUUUUCUUUUAAAAUUGUUCGGGUUAUAUCCCGAAUACUAAAAUAGAUCCAUUCCAAACCAUUACAUGUUUUUACAAUGUCAUCACUGCAAUAAUGUCAGCUGCUUUUGAUGAUGUGUGUCAAGUGAUUGGAUACAGCAUUUUUGUUCCCUAAUUUCUUUCUUUAUGCAUUUUCACAGAUAUCCGUCUUCAAUUCAAACCCUGAUAUUGUCAUGGUUGGUUUUCGAGUUCAUGUGGGUAAUACAUCGGCAAGCCACAUACCUUCCAGUAUUUCUAUUUUCCAGAGGGUUAUUAAAUUAGAUGAAGGAAUGAGGUCCUGGUAUGAUAUUCCAUUUACUGUUGCGGAGUCUCUUCUUGCAGAUGAAGAAUUUACAGUGUCAGUUGGACCAACCUUUAAUGGCUCAACACUUCCCAGAAUAGACUCACUUGAAGUUUAUGGCCGAGCUAAAGAUGAGUUUGGUUGGAAAGAAAAAAUGGAUGCGAUUUUAGAUAUGGAAGCAAGAGUACUUGGUUCAAAUGCAUCACUCGGUGGAUCUGGAAAGAAGCGCCGAUCAAUGCAAUCUGCUCCUAUCCAGGAGCAGGUAAUAGCAGAUGGGCUUAAGCUGAUUACCAAGUUUUAUUCAUCAUGUAGGCAACAAGAUUGCACAAGGCUUGAAGAAGCAAGAACAGAGCUGGGAAAACUCAAGUGCAAGCAACUAUUAGAAACAAUAUUUGAGAGUGACAGGGAACCUAUUCUGCAGGCUUCUGCUAGUCGUGUUUUACAAGCAGUUUUUCCCAAGAAAGAGACAUACCAUCAAGUAACCUAUUUAGUAUCACUUGGUUCUCUAUUUUGUUUUUCAACUUUGUCAAUGUUAUGCUAAUUAUACUAUCUUGACUCUUCUCACAUUAGGUUAAGGAUUCCAUGCGGCUCCUUGGAGUGGUCAAAUCAUCUUCACUACUGUUGUCAAGUCUUGGGAUAGGUGGUACUGCAGGAAGUUGGAUAAUUGAAGAGUUCACUGCUCAGAUGCGUGCGGUUUGUAGGAUUGCAUUGCAACGCCGUUCAAAUUUAGCAACAUUUCUGGAGACAAAUGGUAUUGUUUUGUUCUCGCUGAUUGAAUCUUAAAUAUAUGGAUGAUAAGUUUAAACAAUCCUCUGCAUGAAAUUAUUUUAUUGAGAUACUUCUAUAUUUCUAUAUGUAGUACAUGAUUUAAACUACUUUUGCUGGUGUAGGCUCAGAAGUGGUGGAUGCACUUAUGCAAGUUUUAUGGGGAAUAUUGGACUUUGAGCAGCCCGACACACAAACCAUGAACAACAUUGUUAUGUCUGCAGUUGAACUUAUUUAUUGUUAUGCUGAAUGCUUGGCCCUGCAUGUAAAAGAUUCAGGUGUGCACUGUGUAGCACCUGCUGUUGUAUUGCUCAAAAAGCUUCUUUUUUCGUCUGAUGAAGCUGUUCAGACUGCUAGCAGGUUUUUUUUCUCAUUCUGUUUUCUUUUUAUAUUCCAAAUUUGAUGUUCAGGUUUUUACACAUUUUUUUUCUUCCAGUUUGGCCAUAUCUUCGAGAUUGCUUCAGGUUCCUUUUCCAAAGCAGACACUGUUAGCUCCAGAUGAUGGUGUUGAGAGUGCAGUGCCAGUUCCUGGCUCAGCUGACGCAAGUGCUAGAAACAACCAAGUCAUGAUUGAAGAAGACACUAUCACUUCAUCUGUUCAAUAUUGUUGUGAUGGUUGUUCUACUGUACCUAUACUUAGGCGAAGGUGGCAUUGCACCGUUUGUCCUGAUUUUGAUUUAUGUGAGGCUUGCUUUGAAGUACUAGAUGCAGACCGACUUCCUCCACCACACUCUAGAGAUCAUCCUAUGACAGCAAUUCCAAUAGAAG
Molecule: long non-coding RNA, 57222 nt
Filed under: Trifolium pratense (red clover)
Lineage: Eukaryota; Viridiplantae; Streptophyta; Magnoliopsida; Fabales; Fabaceae
Description: long non-coding RNA (TPRA_LNC003191)
Rfam family: MIR5272 microRNA precursor family (bases 22560-22633)
Source: RNAcentral